Molecule: long non-coding RNA, 67899 nt
Filed under: Setaria viridis
Lineage: Eukaryota; Viridiplantae; Streptophyta; Magnoliopsida; Poales; Poaceae
Description: long non-coding RNA (SVIR_LNC007217)
Source: RNAcentral
UGCUCACAAUUAAUCCGAUUACACACGAGCUUCUCUCCCUGGCCAAGACACAACCAUAGUAUGAUGAAGAACAUGGCACUAGCCGGCAAUGGUAUGAAGAAGUUAAUCCUCGCUGUUCUCUUACUGUGUCUAGUUAUAGGGCAGAUACAAGUGGAAGCUAAGAGCUGCUGCCCAUCCACCACUGCAAGAAAUGUCUACAAUACCUGCCGUUUCACGGGUACAUCCCGUCCAACGUGUGCAAAACUGUCAGGCUGCAAAAUUAUCAGCGGGAACAAAUGCAAGCCCCCUAACGACCACCUCACCCUUGACCCGGACACUGGUAAAUAAUAAAUUUAUCUCACUUGAUUUCUUCGUGAUUUGAGUCGUUAAUGUAUUUUCCAUCUGAUGAAACGUAUUGGUUUUGCAUUGAAGAGGAAGUUAAUGUGCUUAACUUCUGCAAGUUGGGGUGUGCGUCGUCUGUGUGCAACAACAUCAACGCUGGUAAGCAACUUUUGCUCAGACAGAGAAAACAAUAAUCAUUAAUUAGCGGCAGCUAGAAUCCUAUAAUCUAAUAUAUAUAUAUAUAUAUAAUUUUAUCAGCUCUGGGAAAUGAAGAGGCGAACGAUGCCGUUGAGAGUUGCGACCAAGCCUGCUCUAGCUUCUGCAGCGUGCAUGUUGGCAGCGCCACCGUGGUUGCUUAAGCAAAUGCAUCCAACUAGAUCGUCCUUGUGCUGAAUAAUUGGAUAUCGUAUCCACUUAAAGCUGCCUUGUGUAGUACGUCUUUGUGUCUCUCUUUAUAUUCCAAUAAGGUCGGUGAUCUUGAUGCCACACACUCAGAUGUGUGUUCAUCUCCAGAUACUACUCCAUGCUACCUGCCCUUUGUGUUUUGUUCAAUAACUGGGUAUCAUAUCCCAGCCAGUAUGCCGUCUGUUUUGUGUUUGUUUCCUUCUAGUUCCAAAGGGGUCAUCAUGAUGUUACCUUCUUUCAAUAUGGUGCUUUGCAUGACUACUGUUGUAUGGUACCAUCUUGUGGCCAAUAAGUACAUCUUAUCCUAUGACCUUUGCUAUGACCCUUUGCAAAUAAGUAGAAGAUUGUUAUAAGCGUCAAUACUCCGUAUAAAUUGAUCGCUGCUGUGAGUUCCCUUUCAGCUUAUCGUAGGCAUACAUUAUUGCUAGCACGGUAAAGCCAACCAACACGAAUGAUGAAGUAAACGUAGCGGUACUUCUGUAUACCAACACCCUUACUUAAAUGUACCGGUGUCAUUCCCUACUGGCACAUAUAUUCUUAUAUGCUAGCCAGCUUGUAAAAUUAACCAAUUAAAAUAAUUAUUUCAAGAUAGAAAUAACUUAUCGGUUUCUGGAAGCAUGUGUAAUGUGAAUUCAAGGACUCGACGGAAGUUGAAUCACUUCAUCUAUAUUGCUUUCAGUAUUUUGGGUAACUAAAUUUAACAUUUGCACAUACAAAUGUUAAAGUACAAAUGUUAAAUCUAGUUACCCAAGCAGAAUAUGAAGAUAGUUUAUAGUAUAUAUAUACUAUAUAAAUCUAGUUAACAUUUAGUCUAAAUGUUAAAUCUAGUUACCUAAAAUCCUGAAAGCAAAAUGUAUAAAUAUAUAUCUUUUAAGGCAGUAUAAGCUUCGAUUCCUAUUGCUGCUCUGUUAAAUCUCAUCUUUCGUUGUGGCCCAACACUCUAGUAUGCAUGUUGCACCAAGCUUCUUUGAGCCGCUCUGCCCUCUGAUUUUGCUGCGUAGGGGAAUCUUUAUCAGGUUGGGCUACUUCCAGUUGUGCGAUGUAAAGAUUCGUAUUUUCUAGAAGGUAGACAAAAAACUCGCGUUCUCUUAAGGCAACAACCGGAAGAUUCUGCAGCGCACAGGGCAUACCAUUAUUGUAGAAACGACCUUUAGUACCGAUCUCCAACCCCCUUUAAAACUGGUUUUGCAACCGGUACCGUUAUGUCGGUCCUUUAGUACCAGAUCAAAUAAGUACCGGUUGGUAACCAGUAUCAACUUGUUUUGCGGCCAAAAAAAUAAAGAAAAAAACAGUCAGAAGGCUCGCACACACGCGCAUCACAUGAAAUAUGCGUGUGCGGGGUCCAUGGGAUUCGAACCCAUGAAAUCAAGCUGCACGCGACCCUUCGUUACCAUCUCACCUACAUAGCGCAUAUGCUUUCCUGAAGUAACCCGUGGAGGAGGCUUUAGUACCGGGUCAUAACACCACCCGGUACUAAAAAUGACUCUUCAGUACCGGGUCAUAACACCACCUGAUACUAGUAUCGGAUGGUGUAAUGACCCGAUACUAAAAGGCCUCUAGGGACCCUCAAAUUUGAACCCGGUACUAAUGCUAAUAUUAGUAGCGGGUCAAAGUGCAGCCAGAACUAAAGCAUGGGAUGAAAGGUCAUAUUUCUAGUAGUGUAUAGUUGUUGUGAAGGACUGACUUGGCUGUCCUCUCUCUUCUCCAUCCCCUUGGUCUUACGCCGCCGCUCGCACGCGAGCCGGUGCCCAACCAGAGGAGUGAGAGCUAGGGGCAGGUUGGGAGGUGGGGAUAGUGACUGGUGGCCAGGGUGAUGGUUGAUCCUGGUGGGGUUAGGGUUUCAGGGUUUUCGAGCUUCCUAUGGUCGGCGAACCUAGAGGAGAAGCUCAACAUCAGCUGCAACCCGCGAUGGUGGUGGUUUGGCCGGCGCCCGAGGCGAGGCAGCGCGGGAGUGCUGCCGGUGGGUUGGUGUUGGCACUCAUUAUUGACAACUAUUUUGUUCAUAAAAUAACACUCAAACUUGCUGCUGCUGCUGCUGCCAUCGCCACCCUAGCCAUAAUAUAAAGGCAAAAUUUGCUAAAGGACAUGCAAAAUGAUGCUAGUUUGCUGGCGGGCAUCGUUGACCUUGUAAUAUGCUACAAGACACUCUAGUUGUGUAUCAAUUUGCUGAAAGACAUUGCUAUGACUAAAAUAAUGUUUCUGGACUGAGUUGGAGAGAGAGAUGGAGUGAAAUGUCUGUUUUGCCCAUGACCCCACUGGUCAGAUCCUUCUUCUUCCACCCUCCUUUGUUCUUUCUUCAACCAUUACCCAGCUCCAGCGUGUUGCAGAUCUACGAGGGUGGCGGCCUGGGGCGAGGGGCAUCGCUCGCCCUUGGAGGAGCGCUGCGAGCGACGGCGCGGGGGCGGCAACAGCGCGUCAGAACCUGACUGUUCGUUAGCUCCUCUCGCUGCUGGGGAAGAAGGAGGGGGAUGGGCCAUGGACGGGGUUCCCUUGAAAACCUCAGCGUCGAGCUCGGGCGGCUACGCGCAGGCAGCACUAGGCUGCUUCACGGGGAGGGGGCGCGGCCAAUCAUUGGCACCCCACUGGUCCAAUGCUGAUGAAGAUGGUGCCAGCGUCGUGUGAGGACAUCUCAUCUCCUCGAGUUCCAUGGCCAGCACAGGUGAGCUGCCGCUACCACAAAACAGAGGUUUCGUGAGAGUCAAAAAACCUUAUGAAAAUAGCUAAAACCAUCAUGAAAAUAAUCCGUGACAUGACACUCUCACGAAAAUCCUCUCACAAAUAUGGUGCCAUGAAAAUACCAUUUUCAUGAGAGUGAACUGUCAUGAUUUUAUAAGCGUCAAUACUCGGUAUAAAUUGACUACUGCUGUGAGUUCCCUUUCAGCUUAUCGUAGGCAUACAUUAUUGCUAGCACGGUAAAGAGAACCAACACGAAUGAUGAAGUAAACGUAGCGGAACUUUUGUAUACCAACACCCUUACGUACCGGUGUCAUUCCCCACUGCCACAUAUAUUCUUAUAUGCUAACCAGCUUUGAAAAUUAAGCGAUUAAAAUAAUUAUUUCAAGAUAGAAAUAACUUAUCGGCUUCUCGAAGCUUGUGUAAUGUGAAUUCAAGGACUCGAUGGAAGUUGAAUCGCUUCAUCUAGAUUGCUUUCAGGAUUUUGGGUAACUAAAUUUAACAUUUGCACACACAAAUGUUAAUGUACAAAUGUUAAAUCUAGUUACCCAAGCAGAAUAUGAAGAUACUCUAUAGUAUAUAUGUACUAUAUAAAUCUAGUAAACAUUUAGUCUAAAUGUUAAAUCUAGUUACCUAAAAUCCUAAAAGCAAAAUGUAUAAAUAUAUAUCUUUUAAGGCAGUAUAAGCUUCAAUUCUCUGUUAAAUCUCAUCUUUCGUUGUGGCCCAACACUCUAGUAUGCAUGUUGCACCAAGCUUCUUUGAGCCGCUCUGCCCUCUGAUUUUGCUGCGUAGGGGAAUCUUUAUCAGGUUGGGCUACUUCCAGUUGUGCGAUGUAAAGCUUCGUAUCUUUUAGAAGGUAGACAAAAUACCCGCGUUCUGGAAGAUUCUGCAACGUGCACGUUGGCGCUGCCACCGUGGUUGCUUAAGCAAAUGCAUCCAACUGAAUCGUCCUUAAGCUGAAUAAUUGGAUAUGGUAUCCACUGCUUAAAGCUGCCAUGUUUAGUACGUCUUUGUUUUUCUCUCUUUAUAUUCCAAUAAGGUCGGUGAUCUUGAUGCCACACACUCAGAUGUGUGUUUAUCUCCAGAUACUACUCCAUGCUACCUACCCUUUGUGUUUUGUUCAAUAACUGGGUAUCAUAUCCUAGCCAGUGUGCCAUCUGUUUUGUGUUUGUUUCCUUCUAGUUCCAAAGGGGUCAUCAUGAUGUUACCUUCUUUUGAGGUGUCUAUGAUGACUUCGUUAAUAUCAAUAUUAACCAAUUCAAUCUGUCUUAACUAUUUGUAAGGGGUAUGAUGUAUGCAUGAUUAUAACAAUGAUUGCGCAUACAAUCGCCGCCAAAGAAACGGUCAAUACCAUUAAGACAUAUUACAGACAAUUCUCAUAAUCUAUAAUGAAUAUACAUAUUCACUACUGCAGAAGACUGUCAUUUGUAUCGGCUCAUACGUGCCAGGGCAAAGGUCACCCUUGCAUUAAGUACAUUUGCACGGUAAAGACAACCAACACGAAUAAUGAAGUAAACAUGCCGGUGCUUUUGUACACCAACACGCUUACUUAAAUGUACUGGUGUCAUUCCUCACCGGUAGCCGGCUUGAAAAUUAACCAAUUAGAACAAUUAUUUAUUGUAUCGGUGUGAUUUUUGACCUAUUGGAAUAUGAAUUUGACCGUUACUGCAUUCGUCAAGACUCAAGAGAGAAAUAACUGAUCGGCUUCUUAGAGCGUGUGCAAUGUGAAAUCAAGGACUGGAUGGAAGUUGAAGCGCUAGCACUAGUAGAGAAACGACUUUCCAUCCACCCCCUUUUGUCCCGGUUUAAAGUUGGCUCGGGAUAAAAGGUUCACCAACCGGGACUAAAACUCAGUCACUGGUGGGAGGCUCACCAACCGGAACCUUUUAUCCCGGUUGCAAAGGCUAAUGGGAAAAAAAGACUCUGAGAGGCCUUUUAUCCCGGUUUGAAACACCAACCGGGAUAAAAGACCCCCCUUUUAUCCCGGUUGGUAACACCAACCGAGAUAAAAGGGUCAAGAGCCUUUUAUCCCGGUUGGAAACACCAACCGGGAUAAAAGACCCCCUUUUAUCCCGGUUGGUGUUUCAAACCGGGAUAAAAGGGCCCCCACGAGGUGACUGGAAGGUGACUGGAAGGGGAUUAAAUCGUGGGGGACCCUUUUAUCCCGGUUGGAAACACCAACCGGGAUAAAAGGGGGUCUUUUAUCCCGGUUGGUGUUUCCAACCGGGAUAAAAGGGUCCCCCACGAGUUAAUACAAAAGGAUAGUAUCCCCUACAUAGUCAGAUGUGGUGUGUAGGUGGGAUGGUAAGGAAGCUACGCGCGAGCUCCGGAAUUUUUUUUUUUUUUUUUUGCAGCGUCGGCGCUCUCUACCCUUUUAUCCCGGUUGGUAUUACCAACCGGGAUAAAAGGGGGUCUUUUGUCCCGGUUGAGUGACCCGGGAUAAAAGACCCCCCCUUUUUUCCCCGGUUAGUUUAUCCCGGAUGCAUUUUCGGGAUAAAAGCACCCUACCAACCGGGAUUAAAGCUCACUUCUCUACCAGUGUAGCUUCAUCUUCCGCUGCAAGUUAAUUGCUUGGAUAAGAAGUUGUAGCCGCUGCAAGUUAUAAAUAGUCCCGCUGAUGCUGUGCUCCGAAGUCUAUACUAUAUAUGCGGAAACUAGAUUGCUUUCAGGAUUUUGGGUAACUAAAUUUAACAUUUGUACAUAAAAAUGUUAGUUUACGAAUGUUAAAUCUAGUUACCCAAGCAGAACAAGAAGAUAGUAUAUAGUAUAUACUAUAUAAAUCAAGUUAACAAUUAGUCUAAAUGUUAUAUCUACUUACCCAAAAUAUUGAAAGCAAAGAAAGAAUAAGUAUAUAUCUUUUGUUGGAAAAUUGGUCCACGGAGAGGCCCAUUUAGGCCUCGUUCGUUUCACCGGGAUGGGAUUCCAGUCAGGAUUACUUCCAAGUUCGGUUUGAGUGAUUCCACCCGUGUCACUCAAUCCGGCUAGGAUUCAUUCUAUGGGUGAGGAGGUAUGGUUUCAAUCCAGGCCAUCUAAUGUAGAAGGAUUCCAAUCCAGGCCGGUUUUCGUUCCAGGCCAGACUAAAACGAACAACACUUUCAAUGCAAGUCUGGUUUCAAACCGGGCCAUUUCAAACCACCCGGAAUGGACCUCGUUCCAGGCCAAUCCGGUGAAAACAAAUGAGGCCUUAAUGGAAUCCCAAAGCAAGAGUUCAGUGGCAUUCUAUAGUCCCAUGCUGCUAGUUUGAGUUGGUCGAAGCCAACUUAAAUAGGAGAGCUCUCUCACUUCUCUAAAUACGUAACUGAAGGAGAGAAGGGGGCUUGGGUUACACAACGCACGCACGCACGCAUAUUUGCGUUCUUUUCGCGUAACCAACCGCGUGACUUGAAACUUGCGACGUAGCGUGCUGCUAAGUCAAGUUGAUAUAACCUUUUUGCCGUUUGCAUGUAAUCUUUUGACAACGGUCAUUGGAGGUGAUAAGCACGCAGUCAAUACCUUAAUCUUGAGUUAAUAGGGUGGUUACUACUGCCAAUUAGUGGGGCAAUUUUGUAGGGGAAACGGUUAGCAGAGGGCUACCGUCUUCUCUAUAAGAAGUUCUGGAGACGUCCAGGAACACACAUGUACAUGUGAGAGACCCACAAAUUCCUUCCCUUCUCCCUUUUCCAUGUGGUGAAGUGUGCUGUGGUACUGAGCUGCUUGAUCUCGCCGCUCUUCUCCUUGGCAUGCACCGAGGAGGAGGGUGAGCGGUAUCUCCGAGCUAUUGCCGUCAGGAAGCCUGCACGAGGGACAACAAAAAGUUUUUGGGUAGCGCAACUGCCAGCACAACUCUCCCUCCGCCUCUUCUUCACGGUUGAUGGCCACCACAAGCAUAAACCUCGCCUUCGCAUCCACGCAAAAGGGUCGCUGGGGUGCCUUCUUGCAUCGCUUCUCAGCCUCCUUGACUUGCGGCCAGCCAAGAACUGCGCCACCACCUCGGGUGCACGCCACCACUCCAGGGCUGCUACCCCAUGCCUGCGGCCGCCGCCGGCCACCACGCGUGUGCAACCGCGUCGCACCGCUUCCUUGCUUUGUGCCACCACUGCUGCUGUACCACCAGCUCCACCACCUUGGGCUGGUCGCCAGAGUGACUGAUAACUUAUUAUCUGUAACUACUAUUAACUCAGGGAUACAUGCGUCUUUUGCUUCUCCUACUAAUAUGUCCUAAAAUAUCUAGGAUGCCUUAUAUUUCUGGACAGAGGAAGUAUUUGAAUAAAAUGAACCAAUUUAAAAAAAUGUGUUGUACACUACUACAGAAAGACCUAUCAGUGUCAAACCCAAAAAUGUUGUCACCGCCAGUUUUGGGCAUCAUUGGUGAAAGGUUGGCGGUGAUGGGCUUUCCCUUCAACAACGGCACUGGAGCCGACGGUGAUUGACAUUAGAAAACAAAAAAGGGGACCCUACCUAGCCACCCCUGCAACCCGGCCGGCCGUGCCUCCCCUCAUCCCCACCACCUCGCCUCCCCAUGACCCCCCGCCGGCGCCCUUGCGCCUAGCCCCCUCAACUGCCCAGCCGGCCACCCUCAUCACGAGAGAGAGGUGCAUGUUGUAUAAUUGCGUGAAUUUUUUAAUGUUUAAUUUCAUGUAAGUUCCGUGUAAUAAAUUGUACAAGUUUUAUUGUAUAUAUGAAUUCCAUAUAUAUAUAUAUAUAUUUAUAAUUUAAUGUAUGGUUUCAUGUGUAUAUUUCAAUCAUGUGUAUAUUUAGUAGAUUGCCGAUUUUCUUUUUCUACUAGACAAGGGUUGAUGUAUAAUUACGUGUAUAUGUUUAUUGUACGGGCAAUUAGGACAAGUUUUGUAUAAAUUUCUUUUAUUUGAUGGUUGUUGUAUGGUUUCAUGUAUAUACAUUUAUUGUACUACUUUAGACAAUUUUUAAUUUAAUGUUUCUAUGAUUAGAUGUGUGUAUAACUAAUUGUAUUAUUAGUUAAGAUGGGAGCUAAAGAGGAUGAAAGGUAUAUAAUGGAGCAGAUUAUUGCUAGCUCAAACGUUGCAAGAACCUACACCGAGGGUGAGGGUAGCUAGGUGGACAUGUACCUCAACAUGUCCAGUGAUGGCAAUGACGAUGAGGAGCACGAGCAUGACAUCUAUGAUAAUGCGGAACAAGACAUUGCAGAAUUGGAAGGUUCUAAUGAGGUGUGCUUCAUGUUGACAAUCUAGUUGGCUUUUUUUCGUUGGUCACACCUUAGUUACCAUAGAACUUCGUCUCGGGAGAAGAUUGGUGGUGGUAUGGUGAUUGGAAUUUUAUUUCCACGAAAUCUGAUUUCCAUCGAAUCAUAUCCCUUGUAUUUAUCUUCUUUUUAUUUGUGAGAGCAUCUUCUUUAUGCUUGCAAAACAAUUCAAGUGCACAUACUACCCCUAGGGUGACGAUUGGGAGUAGAAAUAAUUGCCAACAAAACAACACCACAUCCUAAGAUUCUUAACUUGUGGCAUAAUUAGUCUAGUAAAAAGAAAGAUAAAAACCUAAUGGGUGUAUGUGAGUGCAAUGUGUAUAUGCAUAUGAGUGGAAGGCAUAUAAGCAAAGACAAUAUUUACACAUAGUUCUAAACACCAUGUUUACAGCUAGGUUGCUGAAUUUCUCCAUAGCCAUAGAGAUUAAUUAACCAAGGUCAAAACACGAUGUCUAUCCCAAGAUCAGUAAUUAUUUAUAGCACAAGAAAAAGAAAGCGCAUUGCAAAGUUUAUAAACCAACCAAUACAGCAUGAAAACAAGAUGAAUAGCUAGCAAGGUUUAUUAAACUGAAUGAUGACGGUCUGUAAGCAAGUUUAAACACCAUCUUUACACAAGAUUGCAAAUGGAAAAUGCCCAUAUGAAGCACUAACAUGGAUAUGAAAUCAUUCAUCAUAAAGCGUAAAGAACAACCAAGCCAACCAUAUGCAAAGCAUGAAUGGAAUGCAAUGAAGGUGCAAGAGAACAUUUUUGGAUGAACACAUUAUGAUGAUGGCAAAAUGCAAUGCAUGCAGAAAAAAUAAAUAUGAACAUGAAUAUGAUGAUCAGGGGCGGACCCACUAUUGUGGCCUGGGUAUUCCUCGGCAUACCCAAUAUUUUUGGGAAAAUGUUUAGUAGUUUUUAAUGGCAUAUACAUGUAUAAUAUAGUUUAGGUGUUAAAAUUGAUAUUCACAGCUAUUUUGGGCUCCAAUUCGCGUCCAAACCAACCUGGCCCACAGACCGCACCCGGCCGCCCGGCCCAUCGGCCCAUCUUGUCACUGAUCCUCCCACCACCACACUCAGCCCGUCAGUUAGUCAGGUCCCGAGCUCCUGCCUGACCUAGUCCGCUACCACCGCCAGGCGCCAGGCACAGCUGUACACGCCGCCCCCGUCCACCCACGUCCGCCGCACGGCCGCGUCGCGCCCCCCCCCGGCGCCCGCUGCUGCCAGAACCCAUUAGGCCUCCACCGGCAAGUCCACCCACAGUCCCGCGCGACGCGGCAGCCUCUUGGCUCUCGGCGCUCGCGGCGCGCCAAUGCCUGCGCAGCCCCAGCAGGCGACUGCCCCCCCCCCCCCCGCAUCGGGCCUCGGCCCCUCCCCAGCUCCCCCUCCCCCCUCCACCAGGACUGCCUGCUGGCCCCCACCGCGAGGUAAUCGAAAUGGACUGCUCAAUCUCUCAAUCUGUUGACAUGAUGCACACGGUUGCAAAAAUAGAUGUGUCAAAAUAGAUGUAUUGCCAAUUGCUAUAGAUGCAUAUGGUUGACAUGAAGAAGUCAAAAAUGACAUUUGGUUCCUUGUAGGCAGUCAAAAAUGAAGAAGUCAAACAAUAUUGAUCUGAAAUCAAUGCGGGAAAGGGCUACGAAGACACACGGGUAGAUUCCCUUGUGAACUUUUUAUGUCGUUCGUCUAAAUAUAUUUUUGCAAUGGGCAUACCCUACUCUGAAAUCCUGGGUCCGCCACUGAUGAUGAUGGUCUAAACAUAAAACAAGCCUAGAUUAAUUAGCUACAACUGAAAUUAAGCAAAGGUUAAUGUCAUUGACCCUAGCUCUAUCCUAGCUUUUACUAAAGUCCCGGCACAUAUAGUGGUUGGGCCCACUCUCUCUACUUCCCUCUCUGCUGCAUGCACACACACGAGCAACUGGAGGCCCAACAAAGCCCAGAAGGGUUCGGCCGAACCCGUCCGAUCCAGUCUGAGCGCCGCUCCCUCCCAGCCUUCGCGCAGAUGCUCCUCCAACGUUCCUUGACCCCUCCCUCAGUGUCCCAUUGGGUUUAACAUUGUAGGAGAGGAGUCCCUUUUUUAAAAUCUCAACCACCUCCUCUCCUCAUUCACUCCACUCUCAUCUCCAUCAAACUCACCAAGAUCCACAUCGGAAAUACCUGCUUACCACCAUGGCUGGCAAAGCCCUCGUCCCUUUCACCAACUUGGGCUUGACCAUUGAUCUCGAUGGGAAAAUCACUCCAGCAAAUGUCAUUGUCCCUGUCGGCGAUCUGGCGAUGGAGGAGGUCCAGGCACUAGAGGUCGAGCCCCUAGCCAUCAUACCGCCCAAGGGGUAAAGCAGGAGCAUGACAGGCGCUGCUAGGGGUUCAGCCGAACUCCCAGUUCAGCCAAACGAGGACGGCGUCGCCUCGGCCUCCCGCUCGACUGCAUGCUUCCCCUUGCCAAGGAGGACUCCAGAACAGCGGGCGCGUGCGUCAAGUCCCUACAAAAGGCUGAAAUACAAUGAAUAUCCAGGGUCACCCUUGAAGAUGGGUGAACGCUACGCCGGGUCCUUGUUUGACUAGUACGGCGAUGCAUUCUGCCACCGCUAUGUCGUUGUCGAGAUUAGCGGAUCAAGACUUAGACUAGUAAAUUUCUUUUAUGCGCGUAAGGCUUCAGAUGGUGGCGUGGGAGACAUGGGUUUUAUACUAGUUCGGGCAAUGGAAUACCCUACGUCCAGUGUCUGGAGCUGCUUGUGUUGCCCACGCGGGGUUCUGUAGUAGGGGUUACAGGUGUGCGAGAGAGGGAGCUAAUCCCAGGUCUCUUAGGCGUGUUCCGGUCCUCUAGAUGGGAGAAGUGUGUUCUGUUUGCUUGGGAGUAUCGGUUGUGUCUGAGUUGUCUCCGGAGCCUCCUCCCGUCUCAGGUCCCCGAUUCUCCUUUCAUAGCACAAGGAGACCAUCGGGGUUACAGACGAGACCGAGCGUGGGGAGGAGUAAAGAGAUAAACAUAGCUAGGUAAAAAUACAACAAGAAAGGGGGGAACCAAGUUUCUAGGUCACCGGCGUCCUCGCCGGCCUUCGACUUCCGCCGGCGCAUUUGUCGGAGGAGGGUGGCCGCCAUCGCGUUCUGUCGAUGGCUUCCUCGGUGACUGUAGCCACCGGGCGUGAUGAUGGCAUUUCGUCGUGACCCUUUGUCUGUUGGGGGAGGCGGCGGAUCCUGCCAUUCUGCUGACGGCUCGCGGAGUGCGAACGUCGCAUCCCUGCCGCUGGGCACGCGGGGCGCGAGAACGUGCGAGGCUUCCCCCUACCCCAGGCGGCGCAGGCCAUGAGUGCCCUGUGGCAAAUCGGAGGAGGCCGCAGCUACUGUAGCUUGUACUGUGCAGCCACGUAUGGGUACUUGUGGCAGGUUGCGUGGUGGAUGCGGAUAUCCUUCUCCCUGACAGAUCUGCGGCGCAUUUAUGGCGAGAUCGACAUGGGGACCCACAAGACCCGCGCCCAAGGCGGAUACUUGUCUGGAGGGCCCGGGUUAGCCUGACCCCCUACGCUUGGGGUCGGGCGAGGCGGAGACUUGCGGCGGGGCGUCGGACGCUCCCGACACUAGACCUGCGGUCGCGCAAGGCGGAGCUUGGUCUUCCGGGGGUCGGGGGUGCCGGACCCCAGGAUGCGGGGUCGGGCGAGGUGGAGCGUAAUUCUUGCCUCCCAUGUUGGGCCGAUGGCAGUCUUUGUUACCUCUAGUGGGCUUGGGCCUUUAUGUUUUGUUGUUUCCAUGGGCUUCGAGAGGUCGUUAAUAUUUCCCCCCAACAGUAGCCCCCGAGCCUGUGGUGGAGUGGGGGCGCUCCUCCGGAGGCUACUAUCAUCGCCCCUAGGGAAUCCUCGCAGUUGAUCCGGGAUAGGAGGUGUUGUUUGCACGGCUUGACCGAGGGGGUCGAUUAGGCGACGCAUCCUGUGAGCGACUCGGUGCGGGAGGGUUUCUUGUUGUUCCCUUCUGUCUGAGAGCCUUAAGUCGAGACCACCUGCGUGGCCUUUGGUUGCAAGGCCAGCCCCCGAGCCCCCGCACGUUGCAGGGGACCGGUCGGAGGCUAGGUCGACUUUUGUUCAUUACCCUCAAGCGUCUGUUCGCUAGGACGGAGGGGGCGAGCCGUGCCAUGCUAUCCUCAUCGGACGAACCAUGGUGCUCAUUGAGUUACUAACGGGUUGAUUCGAGUGGGAUCCCGGUCCCCGUUCGGGGGGGGUCCGGCUUGGGCCAAGCUGGUGGCGUACCCCAGGCUCCGGUCGGCCAGUUCAUAUAGUUCCUGAGUCCGUUCGGUCGGACCGGGGGCUCAUUGCCUUUCUUCGGGGAAAAACCAUGAACUUUGAUGCCGGUCCAGACUCGAAUGUGAGAUUGAGACGCCCGGGGCUGUCGCGUGCCCGGGUGAUGGCCGCUAGCGGACCCGUCUCCUCUCACCCCUCACUCGGGGGUAUCCUGAGGCGGCUGUCGAACCCGUGGCGGGCCAGCCUUCGAACCUCUGGAUCGUAAUGGGCCGUAGGGGCGUUUUCAGCCCCGUAUCCCUUUUUACCUUUUGGUGGGCCUUGGGCCGAAUCAUGGAGGAGGUCGGGCCUUGGGCCGGAUGCGGAGGAUGUCGUGCCUUGGGCCGGAUGUGGGGGACGUCGUGCGUGUCUUCCGGGAGACGAAGUGGUGGAGGGUGCCAACCCGCGAAUCGAGGGAGGAGGGGAUGUUUCUACUGCAGGUCAUGCGCACGGUUUCCGAAAAGGCAGCGGGCGUGACGGGACGUACCUCGCGCCGCAUUUAUUGCGAUGGGGGCGUCUGUUCUGCUUCCCUCGUGCCUUCCCUAUAAAACGAGGACUUCGCCUCGCCGGUUCCGCCCGCCAUCUACCUUCAAGCCUUUUCGCCUCCUCGCGCGCCCUUAGCUUUCCUGUGCCCGCUUCGUCUUCCUCCGCCCAGUGCCGCGCCCUUUCUCCCCAUCCGCCGUCGAGUUCUUCUCCCUCCGGCGAUGGGAUCCUGGGCGCGUUCCCACUUCGGCCCCUCACGCGCCGAAGGCCUAGUGAGGAAAGGCCUCCUUUGCGAGAGGACGGAGACGGAUGAGUGGGGGUUCCCUGAGAUGGAAGAGGUGCCGACUCCGCCCACCGGCUACGUCGUUUCCUUUGCCCACUUCCACGAGAGGGGGUUUGCGACUCCGCCGAGCCUCUUCUUCCGCGGGCUUUUGUAUUACUACGGGCUUGAGCUGCAGCACCUCAACCCCAACGGGAUUCAGCACGUCGCGGCGUUCGUUGCGGUGUGCGAGGGGUUCCUGGGCAUUGAGCCCAACUUCUCGCUGUGGAAGUACUUCUUCACGGUCAGCCUAUACCAGAAGGCCGAGAAGAGGGGAAGCCAGCAGCGGUCGACCCCGGUGCCGAUAGGGUGCGUCGGAAUCCACCUCUGCCAUACUCGCGCCAAGGAGUAUAUCGCGAUGAAGACCGCGGCAUCCCACAAGGGGUGGCACCAGCAAUGGUUCUACGUGAAGAACUACUCCAACCCCCCCUGCCGGAGUUCACCGGCCGCAUUAUUGAAGCGGCGCCGGAGGUGUGGGUGUACGGCCCGGUGGAGAAGGAGAAGAAGCGGAUCACCGGCCUGCUGCAGGCCAUCGAGCACCUGAAGGAGAGGGGACUGACCGGAGCCGGAGUCAUCGGGGCGUACCACGCCCGGCGGGUGGCGCCGCUGAUGCUCCGGGUCCGCUCGCUCGCCGACAUGACCCCCGGUGCUCUCACCGAUGGCACUGUCCUCGCGACGGGUGCUCUCGCUGCCUCCGAGAUCCGGCAGCGGAUCCGGGAGGCGCUGGAGGACAAGGACGCCGAUUACCCGGUGCCCGGCCACCCUCCGAUGCGCCCGGACGAGAAUUUCAUUGAUCUGGUAAGGAUUUUGCGCGCCAGUUUCCCUCUCUUGCGUUUCUUGGUAUGCCGUUCUGACGCGAGGCCCUCUGUGUUUGCAGGGUAGCAUGACCCGGGUCGUCGACUUGCGUCCGCCAGUGUCGGAGGACGCCGAGUGGCGGUAGCAGAACCGUCUCCUUGCCGAGAAGCAAAAGUGACGCAAGGACAAGAGACAGCGAAGAAGAAGAAGAGGGCCGCCAAGGAGUUCCAGCGGCGGCGGUGGGGAUAGGUCGUGUCGGAUGACGAUGACGAUGAGAAGGAGGAGGAGGAUGACGAGGAGGAGGAGGAGUUUAUCCUGUCCCCCCGGUCAGGGGCGCUUGUUAUCCGGGAGCCGCGCUCCCAAGCGGCCAUGGGGGACAAGGCGGGCGAGCUGCCUGCCCGGACCCGAUCCUGCGAAGCUUUGGGGGCGCGCCCCAGGGGUCGGCGCAGAGCGCCCCCCGGGGGUCGACGGAGCCGACCCCCAUCCCUACACCUGCAGCCCAGGAGCAGAGGAGCAGCGACAAGCGGCCGUUGCCAGAUGCCCCGGGGUCGGCGUCCAGCUCAGAGGCGAAGCGCGCGCGCCGCCCUUGCGCUGGGGGAACGUGAGUUGAAUUUCCUUGCGAAUCUCGUUCCUUUCCAUGCAUUGUGUUUGUUUCCGCUGAUGCUGUUUGUUGUCUCACAGCACCGCCCCUCAAGGCCUUGUCCCGCCGUUGGCGCCAAAGAAGGCGUUGCGGUGUUGUCGCCUCUGCGGGGCGGACCGCGGCUCCGCCGGCGGCGAGUGGCGGGGUCACUGGUGAGACCGCGGGUCCUACCGCGGAGGUGGCCCCUGCGGCGGCAACCGGUGGAGUGGUGCCACCGCCGGGCAUGGGACAGGGUCUGGACCCCGCUCCGUCCUCCGCCUCUUCGGCCGACCCCGCGGUGCAGAGUAUCGCUCCUGGGGGCCCUCAGGCCGGGGAGGUGAUUGACCUCGACGCCGACGAGGUGGAGGAGACGGCGGCGGUGGAGACGGGGGCGGUUGCCCCAGCGGCCAUGACGGGGACGACGACGGCGACGGGGGAAGGAGAGUCUACCCCCGCGGCCACGGCGGGGACAGUGGCGACAGAGGAGGCGGGGACGCCCGCCCCGGCGGCUGCGACGGAGGAGGCGGCGGUGACGGAGACGGGGGCUUCCGCCCGGGAAGCCACAGCCGAGGUGGCAGCGGCGACGGAGGUGAAAGUGCCUGUUCUGGAGGCCACGGUGGGGGUGGGGACGCCUGCCUCGUGGCCACGACGGAGGGCGAGGCGGCCCCAGGGACACUUGCUCCGGCACCCGCGUUGGAGGCGGUGGCGCCGACGGGUUGGCCCGUGGCGGCCUCGACGGGGGCGGGGGUGCGUGCGCCGGGACCGUCGGUGAGGCCGGCGACUUCCGGGAUGGUGGUGCCCGUCUUGACGGCGGCGGCGGCGCGGUCGGCCCCCGCCCUUGCCUCUACCACUCCCAUUCCCAAGGCGUGGAGCGGAUCCGUCCUGCGUUGGUCGUCUCGUGACGACCCGCAGAGGCCCCUCUUCACGUUGGAUGAUGCCACAGAAUGGGGCAAGUGGCAGGCGCUGCAGGGCGGACUCGCUAACGUCCGCGCCGCUCUAUCUUCGGCGUUGGGGGAGCUGGACGGCGUCAUCUUCCCCGGUGGCCGGGUAUGGUGCUUUCUCCGUUGGUUAUUUUCUUCCCGUUACUUCGUCCCUGAUGGCACAUUGUUCUGCAGGCCCUCCAAGAAUGUAGCCGGGGAAAAUCUGAUUUCCUUUGGCUCGAGCAGGGGCUCUGGGAGCGCUUCAACUUGGAGUUGCAGCGGACCGGGGAGCUGACCAUGCAAGUCGCCACCGUCUAGCAUGUCAUCGACGAUCUGCGAAGGCACGAGCAGGCGGCACAGGAGGACGCGCGGCGGGCGGAGGCCAAGUUCCAGGUCGUUGCCGAAAGGGCUCGCUGCGACCGCGAGGAGUUCCAGGCCGUUGCCGAAAAGGCCCGCCACGACGCUGAGGAGCUCGCACGGCUGAAGGUGCAGCAUGAAGCUCUUCAGAAGAGCGGCAGAGGGCCUGGCAGGACCGGGACGCCGAGAAGGUCCGGAAGGAGGAGGCUGAGAAGGUGGCGGCCAACCUUGGGGCUGAGGUCAGCCAGCUCCAAGUGCAAGCGCGAGAGCUUCAGGCCUCCGUGGCCCAGGGGCUCGACCAGGAGCGCCAGCUGAAGGCCUAAUCCGAGGGUAUGACUCUGUUUAUUUCUUUGUCUUUGUGAUGUUGCGGUGAUAUUUUAUUUGGCGGGUUCUUCUGGAUGAUCCUUGCAGAUGAGCUCAACUGGCUGAGGGAGGUGCUUGACGCGGAGCGCGCUGAGCACGGCGACCUGCGGGACGCGGUCCGCGUCAUCUGUGACUUCCUUAGUGUGGUCCAGGGGGAGGGGACGAGCUCGCUGGCGGCUCGUGUCCUCGGGACGUACCGCCGGACCAGCGAGAUCGCCCUGGAAGCGCUUCGCACCGGCUUGAGGCAAGCCUUUGGGGUCUUCGGCUCCCACUAUUCCGGCAUCAACUUCGCCGGGAUGAGCGGGGGAUACGCCACCGGCUACUACGAGGCCGAGCUGGAUGAGAUCGACGUGUCGGUGCUCAGCCCGGCGGAGGCCUUGGUGAAGCUCCUCGAGGAUGAGGCCGUCCCGCCCGAAGAUCCCCGGACGAGUUAACUAUAUCGGGCUGGCGCCCCAGAUGUAAAUACGUUAGGGAAAGACUUGUUUUUUGUGAGGGCCGUAGAGGCCUUUUCUAUGAAUUGUCGUAAAAAAGUUUUUGAUUCCCUUUCUUGCUUUUUGGACUUGGAAAGUUUAGAGCACGUUGUCGGGCGUGUCAGUAAGCUUUGAUGAGCGAAGGCACCGUAGCCGCUGGGGCGUCGUUUUUUUUGCAGUCCGAUCAAUCUUGCCUGAACACCGUUCGUGCACUUUCUCCUUUUUAUGCCCAAAAGUUCAGAAAGAGGGUCGGCUCGGAAAGAGAAAGCGUUUUGAGAGGGUGUCAAGUGGCUUAGGUACUUGCGGCAGGUUGCGUGGUGGACGCGGAUAUCCUUCUCCCUGACAGAUCUGCGGCGCAUUUAUGGUGAGAUCAACAUGGGGACCCACAAGACCCGCGCCCAAGGCGGAUACUUGUCUGGAGGGCCCGGGUUAGCCCGACCCCCUACGCUUGGGGUCAGGCGAGGCGGAGACUUGCGGCGGGGGGUUGGACGCUCCUGACCCUAGACCUGCGGUCGGGCGAGGCGGAGCUUGGUCUUCCAGGGGUCGGGGGCGCCUUACCCCGGGAUGCGGGGUCGGGCGAGGCGGAGCGUAAUUCUUGCCUCCCAUGUUGGGCCGACGGCAAUCUUUGUUACCUUGGGUGGGCCUGGGCCUUUAUGUUUUGUUGUUUCCAUGGGCUUCGAGAGGUCGUUAAUAUUUCCCCCCAACACUAUGAGGAGGACUUGUGGGCAGAAAGUCAGCUACCACAAACUUGCCUCUGAAUAUUUGGAGUGCAAACAUUGGAUGGUGGUUGUGGAGAGCCCCAGCCAUACCUCGCACCCGUGGAGAGGUAAUUGUCGGAUUGCUUGGUUCGUCUCUAGAAUGCGACAAGGUCAGGCGCCACCUCUCACUGCUGCCAGUCAGAAGGCCGAGGGGCCAGUUUCAACAUAGUAAUGAGAAUCUCCGAAGGCCAAUAUGGUUAAGCAGCUAACCUCCAUGAUCAUAGACUUACGUUUAGAAAAUAGGAGGCUUAGCGAUGCGUUAACAGAGCAGAAGUUAGAAACAGAAGAACUUAAGGACGACUUCCGUGUCCUCCGCCUUGGUCUUUGUGCUAAGAUAAAGCGCUUGUACAAUGCCACGGGGAAUGACGGUCUCUACGAUGCAGCUCAAUAGACGUGCCCCUUGUAUCCUUUCCUUUAGGCACUUUAGAAUAUGUUUAUUUGUUUUCCUUCAUUUUAAUUUCCAAUAGAUUGUUAGCGCCUCCAAUUUAAUUUCAAUAAAGUGUAGACUCACCGGUCAUCCAACUUGAUGGAGUCCUUUUGUCACCUAGUUGUCUUUGGAAGAAGUAGCUGGGUACAAAAUAAGUGUGGGGGAGAGCCACAGACUCUCUAGAGCUGAAACAAUGCACAACACCCACAAAUAGAGAAAACCACGCUGCACCAGCACGUACGUGAAAGUGGAGCCAGAGCUGGACCCAUAGGGGUUUGGCCAACCCAAGGGGUGGCCCACUCGGGCCAUCUUCAUCCACCGCGUCGGUUUGUGUCUCUUUACCCCUGAUCUCCCUGAUUCAUGAGUUUGAAUGAAUUUUAAAUCUGAUCAACUAAUUCAAACUCAACUAAAAUGAAUCAACUGCUCCACCUGCUCUACAUGUUUUCUAUGGUUGGCUUGCAUAUGUUUUAUUUCAUGCUUAUCAUCUUGAUGCUUGUGAACAAAUAUCUUUAGGACAGCAUGCUCAUCUAAGUAGUUGAUGUGUAUGAUAUGGUUCGAUGAUAUGAUCUUCACUCUUAAUGCUUAAGUGCUUGGGAAAAUCUAUUUGAAAAUUUAAAAGCCUUUUUGAAAUCUCCUCUUUGAUGUGCCAAAGUCCUACCAAAGCCAUAUGAUAAGUUAUCUUGAAAAACCAUUUGCAUAUGUUGCUUGUCUUUGCAUUGAGCUUUGUCAAAUUGGUGUGACCCUUGUCACAAUUCUUUUCAUACUUUCAUGAUCAAGACUCAUGUGCACGCCAUAUACCCCUUGCUAUGCUUCUAUGAGAUGUUAGCAUUGUACCAUCCAUUCAUUCCACAAAAUAAAUGCUCCACCAUAUGUGUUGGUCUCCUUCUAAGAUUAUUGUUACAAAAGAGAUAUGGGCUAUCAAAAAAAAAUAUGAAUGUCCAAGAAAGUUGGACACAUGAAUGUCCAAUAAAAAGAAAAAGAAAGAUAGCCAUGUCCUCAGAAAUAUUUACAAAGGGAGAGAGAUCAUACAAAAAGGAGUUUCCAUUCCAUCCACCACAUCCAUACAUGUGCACAUCUUGAUCUGAUUGUAUGACUUAUUUUUCUCUUUGGAUCUGGUCUUUGACUUUGCAAUAUAUGUGAUGCAAGCAUGCCUUAUCCUUCAUAGCCUACCUUGAGCUCCACAUAUAGCCAUCAUUAGAAGUAGGAUGAAGAAAGGCAAGUCUAAUGCCUUGGUGAGGACAUAUACACAUUGAGUGAUCUGAGAGAAUCAAAUGAGGAGCUAAGCAAGGUUUUGUUUUGAAAACUAAUUGAAAAAUCCCAAGCUACUUGGCAUAAGGAGUUGAGGUGACUUGAUUCAAGACCAUUACAUUCCUCAACUACCCAAGAUGGCAUGAUAGACACUCCAAAGUUCACAAGUGCAGGUAUGGUUUGGAAUAUCUUUUAGGCUCGCUUCAUACCUUUGAAAGUUAUGUUUCACCUUAGUCCUUUCUCGUUCACUCAAGGAUAAGCAAAGGCUAAGUGUGGGGGUGUUGUUGAUGGCUCUUAAGUACAAAAUCUGCGCCAUCAACUCUUGCAUAAACACAUAAAAUAUGAGCAUCAACAAUAGUGGUAGGAGUUAUUACAAACGAAUUCCACAAGUCUUGGUGAAUAUUUGUAUGCAAGCCCAAUAGGAGAGAAAAGACACCUCAAAAGCAAGGAAACACACUCUCAACCAAUCAAGAGCAAGCACAUGGAACCAUGGGCCCACAACCAAAAGGAAAUCGACUACAUUCCAAACACCCUAUACCCACAUGAGAACCCAUAGGGCAGUGACCCAGAGCAAAGGUGAUGCCAGAGUGUAGAUGGUAGUUAGCAUGCCAAAUUUUGAACCGCAAGCGCUCGGAUUAGUUGUUUCUUUUCCCUUAGAGAUUCCCCCAAGGUUUAUCAAUCCAUGGAACAAGGGAUUUGCACGUUUCACUAAGCACUAAUCAAUGUAAUUGAAAGCUUUUCGAAUAAGAUAUGAUUAUGCUAACAAAGGAACUAAGCAAUCUAGAUUAAGAUGGAUAGAGAGUACAGGUUGUGAACAAGAUAGAUUAAACGCUUGUAGAUGCAAUCACCAUGCAUGAAUGAAUUAGAUCUAGGUGUUAUUGUGAGUGGUUGUGAACCAUGCCCAACACUUUCCCACCCGCAACAUUGUCACUACAUGUGGGUACUCAACUAUCGGAACAUAAGAACACAUCAAGAUGAUCAUUCUAGGUAAGCAAAUAAGCAACCCAAAGUAGCGCUGGCCAGCCUUUUCAUGAAAGAGCAUCAUCAAGAUAAGAUUGAUAACAAAAUAGAUCUCAACCAAAGGUUCAGCGAUUACAAAUCAAGAUCUUCGUAUAACCCCGAUGACAAAUAGAGGUAUUACCCCCAUGAUCUUACACAUGUUGAUGAAUUUUAGGGUAAAGGACACCCUGUAGAUCAACUGGACCAAAGAUGAUGAUGAACGGGGGCAGGGAAGGCCCAGGUUGAUCAGCCUGCGCACUUUUGAGCCGAUCAGCUCAGGGGGUUUCCUCCUCCCCUGGUGCUCCUCUUCGCGUGGCCUCCUCUGGAUCCAAUCUUCUCUUCAUUUCUCCUACUUGUGGCGGCAAUGGAUGGUGUUUGCAUGGUGAUUUCCUCUUCUCCCCAACUCUCCCUCCUUGAAGUCCAUGAGGGGGUAUUAAUAGUCUCCAAUAGGCGGCAGCUCUGGGUCAAUGUCAGUGAAAAAAUCCUAGAGAUCAUCGUACACUUCAUGCUGAGGAAACAAGAGGUUGACCGAGCCCUGGGAUAGACCAAGAGGAUCAUCCUAGAGGGUCCCAGGCUAAUCGGUCUAGGCCCUUCCUAGCCCUUCUAGUCCUCUCCUUCCUCGUGCUGGCUUUUCUCGAUGACCCUUGUCCAAAUAUCCAUGAAGCUCUAUAUACAUACCCCCUUGAUUAUGUUGUAUUUCCUGUCAAAAUACAAUGCUCCAAAAUACAACACAUAUGCAAUAAUAGGGUUAUUUCAGGUGCCAAUUGGUGGGUUAGUAUACGAAUAAGCAUGAAAAUACUGUUUAAAUGACACUAAAAGUGUGUCAAUAACGAGCACCAACAAUCCCCCCACGCUUAGAUCUUGCUCGUCCUCGAGCAAGUCUAGCGACUAAAAGAUCUUGAAUUAAACCUGAGCAAGCGAGUCAAGUACCUAGCCUUGAAACAAAAGAUUAGAGGAGCAGCAAAGAUAAUCAAAGUCUGGGUGUUCAAAGAUUUAUCUAAGCAAAGAUUCCCCUACAACUAUUAUUCAGAACCAAGUAACUUCAAAAAUCAACUACACUUAUUUUCUGGCUUUUUUCAGAGGGUUUUUCUUUCAUCAUAAAACAAUCUCCCUGCAACAAAAUUGAAAAAAGAAUUAUUUUCAAGGUGCUUACAUGUCGCUUAAAUGAAUGUUGGCUAUCCUACUUAUUUGCAAGCUCUCAUCUCUCAAAAUUCAUUCAAUUAUAUGGUGGAGUUUGGGUAAGGUUAGCUAGAAUCAACACGUAUAUUAUUGAAUUAAGAAAACCCUCUAACGGUGGCCUACCUUCCGAGCCAUUGAUCAUAAGAAUAUCCACAUAAUGUGAAGUUUUCAAGGAUGAGAAGAUAUAGAAUGGUGGACAUGUGCAAAGGCAAAGAAAUAUAGUGACUCUGAGGCACAAGCAAUGUCCUCGUCGUUGGAUUGCAUAUGGUUGUAAUGAAAAUAUGUUCCUUAAACAAGUCUAUCUUUUCUUUGCACCACUCUUGAUCUUCAUGACAGUAAAAACUCCUCCUUUAUUUCUUUCUCUCUUUUCCUAUUAUUUCUUUUUAUUUGUCUCAAUACUUUUAUUUCUUUAUUUCUUUAUUUUAAUCUCUUCUCUGAACCUCUUCUGAACACCACAUAAUAAAAAUAAGUUUUAGAUCCUUCCAGAGACCUUCCAGGAAUUUGCUACAUGAAAACCGAGGCAAGGAGACCCCAGGCCGAUUGGCCUAGCCACUCCUUUGCUCUCCUCUAGCUCUUCUUUCUGGUGAAGCUUCCUUAUCUUGUAUCUUUCCAAAAAUUUCAUAAAGCUCGACUAGAAACGGAACAGAUCUUCAUAUAAUGAGUUGUGUUCAAGGAAUUGGUAAUAAAAUUGAGAAAUUUGUGGUUCGGGUUUACGAAUUCAGUACAAAAAUAUGAUUGUUCCAAUGAAGAACUCUCAUUACUGAAUAUUGACGAGGCAAGCAUUCAAAGAUGGUAAAAAGGAUAUGAUCAAUUCUCAAAAUUAAAGCAAACCAAGAGAGAGCGAUCCUAAUUCAAUUCAAAGUGUCAAAUGUUGCUUAUGGUGGUAUGAAUAAAUAUUUUUAGGCAUUGGGUAGGAUAAAUAAAAACUCUCAACCUGGUUAAAAGAUAUUGAUCAAUCUUGUUUUUGCAGAGGUUUUAAAUAAAAAAUAAAAUUUUAAAUCACCUCCAAUUCAAAGCCUUACUCAUAAAUCAUAAUCAAAACUGAAGCACUUGAUCAUCAUAAAGCAUGGGUAUUGCAUAAACAAAUCGAUUACUAAAACUCCACAACUACGAUUUAGAAUUCAAGACAAUGCUCAUAAUCUAAAGUUGCAAAGAUAAAAUAAAAGACAACCAAGCCAAGGUAGACACUAAAAACACUUGCACGAUCCUUGAAUUUUAUUCAUGCUUCUUCUCACAAAGACGCUAAAGUAGCCAUGUAGGCCUAAGUCUUCCCAAAAGCUUAAGAAAACUACUACUUUAUCUACUUUUGGUUGAAAUAAAAAGACUAAUCUAGACUCUCACAUGAUUCGACUCGACCAAAUUAGAUCCAAAAACUCAUACGAGCGACGAUCUCCCCCCCCUCACGCUUAAAAUCUACGACCUCCUCGUCGUAGCCAUAUGGAGUACAAGGAAAAGAAGCUUGUAAACGCUCUAAUGACGCUACCCGCACUACUUGCACACGGGAUGGUUGCUGCUUCCUUCGCUUUGUUCUUCCUCAUGUUGCUGCACAUCCCGAAGAGCUUCCUCACGUUCCUCUGCAAGAACUUGAACUCGUCCUCCUGACGGCGAUCAUUAUCUUCUGCCUUUUGAUCCAGAGCUUGUAAGGCUUGCAUGAUGUCAUCGAACGCAUCGAAGAGGUAGUGGAUGUUCUUCCUGCAAGCUGUGGAACAUGUACGAUCAUGCUCCUCCGAUUCUGGCCCGUCGUCUUCUAGAUCCUUCUCUUUGCCCUUGUCUUGACGGUGGCUAUCUUGCUCCUUGCUCGCCUUCUUGCCUUCAGCCCAAUCCCAGUACGUGUUGUCAUCUUCUUCAUCGUCACGGCCUGCAGCACCCUAUGAUCCAUUGUCUAUCUUGUAUGAAAGAAUCAGAAGCUUGUUCUCCUCAGGGUGUCUUGCGCGGUGCAGCGUUUGCAAGUGCAAGACUUGCUAGUUCCUUUUACACAUUGUAAUGUUCAUUGCAUGCUCUAAUUGUUCUACAUUUGUAAUUUCUUGGUGAAGUUUGGUUACUGAUCCACUGUUUGAUUAACUCUUGGGCCCAAACACUGUACUACUUCUGAUUAGAUAUCUGUAUCUUGACUUUGACCAAAAAAAAUAUCCGGCAGUUUUUGCCAUUAAAGUUUCAUAAAUCAUCUUGCAAAAAUCGUACUAUACAACAAGGGACGGUUUAUUAUAAAAUAUACGUUCCCCUUAUCACAUGCCACUUCCACUCAAAAGGCAACGAAUCAGUUUUCAAUCCUGAGUGAGCAAUUUGCUUUUAUUACCGAUGCCUCCUAUUCCCUUGUGCACCAAGUUUAUUUUGGAUAGGGCUGCAAAAAACGACUAACCAGCUCGGAUUCUCCACCUGCAAAACCGCAUCUGCAGCAACCAACCCCACGCGGUGGAAAAAAAAACAAAACCUAGAAACCGGACGGGGGUGGAUGUGGGGCUCGGAGCCCAAGCAAAAAACGGAUCGGGAGCGCCGGAGCAGGCCAUCACCGGAUGUUAGAGAUAGAAAAUGGUUGAAGUUUGGAGUGGAAAUCAAACAAGCCUUGGAGCAAAGGAAAAAAAAAGAUCAAACCACUCAAGCAUUCAUUUGAUUUAGAAAAGAGAACAUUUGUUAAGGUGGGGAGUUGAAAUCAUCUUUUAAUUAGUUCCACGUAUCUGGUAUCAUUACAGUUGGUUUACUUGUGUAAGUAUAAGUAGCUCUGCCGAAGCCUUUGCUCCUAUAAUUUAGUAACUAGUACAAAUGGAUCAAUAGGAAAAUCAAGUUGCAAUCAUUUCUCAGCCAACCAAACCUAUGUAAAUCAAAUUAUUGUCCAUGCCCGGCAUGCACAGGUGCCUGCCAUGCAUGCAUUGUUGCUCCAUUGUAAUAACCAUUAUUGUCCAUCGAUGUUGCAGCGCAUGUGUGCACUGUGCAGACACCAAGCAUCGAGAUUAUGUACUAGUAAGGUGUUGAAAUAAUGGGCCUAGCCCAUAAGUAAUUUCAGAAUUUCAAAUAAAUCUCAAAGGCCCAUGUGGGCAAGAGGUGGAGUGGUGCAAGUCUUUAGUCCCACAUUGCUAGUCGAGGGGAGGGAUGACCAACUUAAAUAUGGAAGUUGUCUCCACUCCUCCAAGCUAUGUGUGAAGGGCGCGGGCGCGAGGCACUUGCGUGAAUGGUCCGCCGAAAUCUGGCCCCCCUUGCGGGGGCGCGGCUUCCUUUUGCCGUUUUAUUUUUUGGUUACUUGGUCGUUAAGUCAUGGAAUCCUAACCGGUUUAGAUCACGAUCGUGAAGGUUUUUGGGAAGCGCUCUGCGCGACUGCUCGAUCGCUUCUUCCGCUUCGUCAAGUUCUUCGUCGACUCCUUCACCACGGCUCGUCUACCUCUUCGUCGCUCGGGCCUCACUCGUCGUCGCGAACAACGUCAGGCUGCUGAUCGUCGUCGCCUGCUGUAUCCGGUAGUCGUCCAGGAGCCGGUUUUCAUCAAGAAAGAAACGUACGGUCUCUUAACUCACAUUAUGUCUUCCAUACUAGCUAUUAUGAUUGUUGCAGUCUGAUAGCUCUGGAUAGUAUGGUAGAAUGUCUGAUUCUAUUUGCAAUGAUAGACUUGUCUAGAUCUUGCGUAGACAUGUCUAGUUUAAUCUGCUGCUUGUUCAUCAUAUUCAUGAUUUAUUUCUGGAUUAAGUUAAAACUAAAAGUGCUUAUAUAUCCAACAUAAGGUACCAAGAACACGUGAAGCACCCGGGGGAGGCUGCUCCACUCCGCAUGCACAGGUGGGCACGGCACCACUACUCGUCUCCUUCAGGCUGAGGAUAAGUGAUGUACGCUGAUCAACAGACCACGACGGAACCAGCAAUAAUAGUUUCAGCCUGCCUCACAGUAAUUAAUAUAUCCUGUAUCCUCCGAGGACCCCUCCCCUUAAUCUUGGCCUAUUGCAUCCAAUAAUGAUAUGUGUGUUUAUCCAAAUUUACGGCACCUUUGGCGGGGGUUCCACCCAGCUCCGCCCUCUCCACCUUCGGUACUCCAUGGGAAACCAUUCCUUUGGAAUCAAGGAAGCUUGAACAGUAUAACGAAUAAAGUUUCAUAUAUCCAUUUGAUUUCACAUGAAAUAAAAUAUUCUGUCAGAACCAAUGGUUUCACUGAAGCUCCAGGCAGCGAGCGAAGGGGUGAGAGAGGAUAACGCUUACUGUGUGUUACCAUCGCGUGCACCAUGGAUGACCAACGCGCAGCCGAGAUGAAACGGCGGACCUAAACAGGUCCUCGCUAUUUUUGCAGGUUCUCGACCAGGCCAGUUCUUUAGGCCAACCUAUCAUUCACGAGUUAAACAUACGGUGGCUGGAGAAAUGUUCUAUUCUUUUAAACAAUACCAGCUGGUUCCUCCGUUUUUAUUCCACCAAUACAAGCACCACCUUGUAACAUUUCCUAUGUUUUUUUUCCUUUCGUCUGUUUUCUCACUACAUGCGUUGCUCUUUCAUGCAUUUUUUUCCAUUCCUGUAUUCCAAAUAGGUCUACAUGAACACAAAAUGAACUAGGGGACAGAAAAAGCCAGUGAAGUUAGUUUUGAGCUUCACCAGCUACUUGCUACAUAAAGUGUGCUAUAGUCGCAGAAAAGCUAAGCUGGAUCAGACGUGGCCGAAACAAUGCCAAAGAGCUAGGUCCCUAGCUGAUGGCAACACAUCAGAUGACUAGCCUGCUUUUCUGUAAUAAUGAUAUUGAGCAAUACACUGCAUGGCUAACCUGCUUUACAAUAAUUGUCAUUUUAUAAUAUUGGUCAUCACGAGAGAUGCACAUUGCAUACACCGGCCCAUCCCUAUAAAUAGCCAAGCCUUUCAGCCAUCUUGGGCACCUCCUCUCAGGGCCUCGUCUCACCAUCAGACAUCUCGUUCCCAGUUAUAAUUUGCGAGGUUAGAUCAGGCUGCGCCAUGGCGUCCGCAACUGCUGUCAAGAUCGUCGCCACCUUCAUGCUGGUGCUGACCAUGGGCCACCUGAUGGCCGAAGCAUCACCGCAGCCUCGGCGUGUGCUUGCAGAAACGGAGCAUGCUGCGGUGUCCGGGAAUCCUGGCCUCCCAGGUGAUGCUAGCGUCAUGCAGGUCCUCGAACCCGCCCUAGUUUCUCGGCUUGCCUGCAAACCAGAGUGCACAGUCCCUUGGCCUCCUUUUGUAUGUAUCUGCUAGAUCCUCUUCCUGGCUCAACGGAACUUCAGGGAAAUGGCUGUGACGUCGGCCAAAGAAUAAAUUGGAUGAACAUAAUAUACCCCGGGUAGUGUAGCUUGGGCUUUUGUUGAGCGUCUGGUGCUAGUUGUAUUUUGUUUGCUCAUGUGGCUUUGCUUCUGGUUGCAUAUUGGCUUUCCUAUCGCUCUCUGUUGCAGCUAUGGUUUCUGCCAGGUGUGUGUUAAUGCGGUUUGUAAGCGGUGCUUGUUCCUACCUUCUGUUUUCAAUAAAAGAAGUCGGAGUCUCCCUCCGACUCUUGUUAUCAGUCAACAAAAAUGAGUUGUAUCAUAUAUAUCUGCGUCUUUUUUCUACGUAUCUUUGGGCUGCUUCAGCUGGAAGUUUAUCGUAAGUACGUGUAUCAGGAUGAUCGUUUGAAUUAAAACGAAAUGAUAAUGUGUGGCUGCUAGAAAUGGAAUGAGCAUCUUACUAUAUUACUAAUUGGAAGCCUCCACGUGAAGCCACCUAGAAAUUCUAGGUGGACGUUUUAAAAAAAACAAAACUCAUAGAAGCCUCCACCACCUAGGAAUCCUAGGUGGACACUCUAAAAAGAGACAAAUCCUAGAAAUUCUAAAAAAAGAAAAAAAUAAUAACAAUAAGAUUUUUUUGCAGUCAAUUACAUAUAUUUUUUUGAGACACCGUGCUGCUAGCUCUUGCCAUUGCGACCAGUAAAGCAAGCAGAUAGUAAGAUGACAUGCGUGUGGAUUGAUUAAAACAAAUUCAGUUAGUUGAUUCUAAAUCGUAUGUAUCCUAAAAGGAAGAUAUGUGCGUGCAUGGUCCCUAGCGAUGACAUGUAGACAUGUAUUGCAAUUUCUUUUUUAAAAAACAUGUCUAUCUCUAAACCAACAAACAGAAAAAAUAUCAAUCUAAAUCUAAAUCUCUUCCGUUCUCACACGCCUAUUAAAGAGAAGACAACCAAUCCCAUCCAUGUUCCAUAGAAUCCAUCUAAAAGCUUGCUCACUGCGGACGGCAUUUGACGGCAAAUCAAUGAAAGAUCAUCCUCUCCAAAUAGCUGGACGGCAUCACCAUCUUUAUCUCACCAACCUACAGAGCUACAACGAUGUUGUAGAGAUCAACUAGGUAACCUACCAAUCACCCUCCCCUUUUCUAUAUGCUCUAAAGAACACGUGGAGUAAUUAUAGGCCUAUAGGAGCCGACUAACCUAGAUUAAUAUGAAAAAUAUUCCAAUAUUAAAAGCAAGCAGAUAGUAAUACUUGCCUUUGACCAUUUUUCUAGAACUGUUAUUCCUAUUGAAUGUUCAAGUGCUACGGCCAGGCAUCGAAUGCCUGCACGGAACCUUCCUAUUGAAUGGUUACUCUAGAGAUCAACGCACCGCGAGACAUUUUUAUGGAAUUUGUUUGAUUCCCCUUCUACAAUUAGAUUAAUUUUUCAUGGCAUAUAUUACUACUAUUAAAUUAUUUGUUUAUUGUCGGGCCUGCUGCAUGUGUGGUAUAUAUGACUUGCUUCUCACCAUUGUUCUCAAACUAUUAUUCCUAUCGAAUCUUUCUAUCGAAAUAUAUUUUAAUUACUUGAUUGUUGUUUGUGUACCAUAACUUCUGUAUAGAAAAAUUCCAUGUUUGUAGAUAAUGUCUUUUGUAUAGAAAAAUAGCCCAAUUAGAUCCAUCACCAUCUUUUGCUUAUGUAGUUGAACAAGUUGCAAUGUUGAACAAAACUUUAAGUGAAAUUAGACCAGGAAAAGGAAUUGUGGAACAUUAAGGCAAGGGUAACCAGAUUGUGGAAUGCAACCUUACUCAGUAGUGGCGAACAAUUAAGUCUUGACAUGAUCCUUAUUGAUCAAAAGGUAUGAUAGAUGUUCACUUUGAUUGCAUUAUUGGUAUAAUUUUUGGUUUACAAAUUAUUAAUGAUGAUGCAAAAUUAGGGAACCAUGAUCCACGGUGUUAUCAAUAAGCCCUAUAUGAAAAAGUUCAAACCAUUGAUUGAAGAAGGCAAUGUGUACAUAAUUGCAAAUGUCAGAAUCACACCAGAACCACAGAAGUAUCGGCCAGUGGAAAAUGACAGGAUAGUCAACUUCUUACCCACAACUGCACUAAAAACGAUCAAAGAUACUGAAGACAUUCCAAAGUAUAGUUUUAACUUCAUGAGCACGGAUAUGCUUUCAGCAAGAAUAAAUGUGGACAUGUACCUAUUAGGUAAAACAUUACUGGCUUUUCAAUUUUUACACUUCCACUCAUUAAAUGACCAUCUAAUAAUAAUACAUAUUUAUGUUUCAUAGAUGUUAUAGGUAUCUCAGCUCACAUUGGACCGAUAGAAGAAACAAGGACAAACUUCGGAUUUACUAAAAUCCGUGAUAUUGUGCUCCUGAUCGAGUAAUUCUCUUUUCUUUUGUAGAAAACAACUACAAAACUUUCAACAUUUACAUGUAUGUUAUAGAACUUCUGUUGAACUAAAAAAUAUCUUCUACAGUGCCCCUACAAAUAAUUAAUUUCGUAGUUGGAUAUUUAAAAUAUUUAUUAUUCACUUUUAAAUUUGUGGCCAUGAAGUUAAAGUUAGAUUUUGGGGAGACAAAGUUGAGGAAGUUGAUGAUAAGACAAAAUCCCAUGUCAUUGCAAUAACAUCUACAACUGUGAGUAAAUUUGGCAGUAAGUCUUCAUUCAAUAUGAGUUAUUCAAUAUUAGUCAUUCAACAAACUAACCUCGUAAGAAAAAUAAAUAAUUGAUGUUUUAUCAGGGUAUUCUCUAUCGUCAACCAAUGCAACAAAACUUUAUGUAGAUCUACCUAUUCCUGAAACUAAGGAUGCACAUGAUAGGUGAGAAAAAUUAGAUAUUGUUUUUCUAUUUUAAUCUAUGUAGCAUGCACUCUAACAUGAUACAUUCUUUCAUAUGAUAAAAAAAUGUUAGUUCAAUUGAAAAUAUUGUCAAAGAGAUUCAUAUUGAGGACCAUCUAAAAGGGACAUUGGAAGACCAAAUGCAGUACAAUAGAAGAACUUUAGAAGAAUUAAAUUUCAUAUUAUUUGAAACAUCAAAUCAGGUAUGGAUUAGUAUGUUCAUUGUACACUAUACUAUUUAAAGACUUACAUACAUAAUGAUGGUAUUGUUCCUACUUUCAGGAUGAGGUAUUUACUAUUGAAGCAACAAUAAAUGAAAUUAAUGCAACAUAUGGUUGGUUGUCACACCCGAUUUUAAGGACAAAAUUGAGUGCAUUAAAUACAUGUGCACCAGGAUCAAGUUACACACAUCCUAUGAGUACCGUCCUUCUUUGGCACAAAGAUAACCGGUGCUCCCCAUGGUGAUGAACUAGGCCGAAUAAACUAUUUUGCUGAUAAUUCCUCUAGUUGUUGUUUCAAUUCUUUUAAUUGUUCAACCAACAUUCUAUAAGGACGUUUGGAGAUAGGUGCAGUACCAGGUAAAAGAUCAAUAGCAAAUUCAAUGUCGCGGUCAGGUGGCAUACCUGGUAAAUCGUCGGGGAACACAUCCGGAUAGUCACACACCACUUUGAUAUCUUCCAAGGAUUUUCCAGCCAACUGAUUAACUGCACAAUCUGCUGCUGAGGGUAGAGUAGCUACAAACUCCACUUUCUCUCCAUCAGGACCUGUUAGCAGAACUGUCCUCUUGGCACACUGAAUCGUUGCAUCAAAAGCGGCUAACCACCUCAUCCCCAGAAUUACAUCGAUUCCACUGGACUCAAGGACGAUAAGAUCAGCCGGAAACUCUAUACCCAUUAUUCUCAGUUUAACUUGUGGACAGAUGUAUUGAGCCUUCAUUGACCCCCCAGGUGAACUCACUAGCAUAUGACGCCUCAUGGUAUGCAUGGGUAAAUUAUGCUUUGCUACAUAAUGACUAGUGACAAAAGAAUGCGAUGCUCCAGAGUCAAAUAAAACUGAUGCGGGGGCAGAGUUGACAAAGAACAUACCAAGCACUACAUCUGGAGCCUCCUUAGCAGUCUCGGCUUCCAUGUGGUUCACCUUGCCACAAACAAAGCUUUGCUGCCCCUGAUUGCCUUGUGGGGUCUGGUUCCCAUUCCUCGGUUGCUGCAUCUGAUUCUGCCGAGGAGCACUGCUGUUCUGCACGGGGGUAGCUGGCCCACCUCUCUUAGGACAAGAGCUGGCAUAGUGACCAACCUCGCCACACUUGAAGCAGGUAGGACCCACUGGAGCAUUGGGCCUUGUUGGAGUGCCAGUAGGGGUCAUCUGGCGGUUCUGCGUAAAGCUUGGGCGCGGAGUCUGCAUAGUCUGCAUCCCUGGAUGCUGGAACUGAGGGCUAGGGCGCUGGAAUGACUGCUGAGCAGGGCGCGGAAAUGAGUGCUGCCAAAAAUUCCCACUCGGGCCCCCUGCGCGGAACGGCGUCCCUUGCUGUGGAGCAAAGCGAGGGCGGGUGUUGCUUCCUGAAGACUACUGGGAAUUGAAUUUCCUCUUCAUCUCCCCGAGCUCGUUCCUCUUGUGUUCCAGGCCAAUUGCCUUGUCUAGCAUCUUCUGGAAACUGGGGAAGGUGUGCGACAUAAGCUGAUAUUGGAGUGGUCCAAUCAACCCAUCCAAGAAUAGCUCCUGCUUCUGCUCAUCAUCAGCAACAUCUUCGGGAGCAUAUCGGGACAACUGGACAAACUUGUCCCUGUACUCUGCCACUGUCAUGUUCCCCUGCUUGAGAGCAAGGAACUCCUUCUUCUUAAGCUUCAUCAAUCCGGAAGGAAUAUGAUGACUUCUGAAGCUAGUCCUGAAUUCAUCCCAGGUGAUGCCAUUAGCAUUGGCAUGGGUGGUGGUGUAAGCAUCCCACCAAUCAGCAGCUGGCCCUUCCAGGCGUCCUGAAGCAUACAGGACCUUCUCCCUGUCAGUACAUUGGGCGAUAUCCAGCAUCUUCUCCACUGUUUUCAGCCAAUCAUCAGCAUCUAAUGGAUCCGGAGAAUGUGAAAACGUCGGGGGCUUGUGGCUCAUGAACUCCCUAUGCCUGUCCCUUGGCGGCGGCUGCUGCUGGUUGUUGUUGUUGUUAUUGUUCAGCUGAGCUUGUAAAGCUGCCACGGUGUUGGUCAGUCCGGCGAGAAGCUGAGUCUGAGCUGCUAGAAACUGCUCCAUCCCUGCAGGUGCUUGUUGGUUCUGUUGCGGAGCGGUGUUGGGAUUGCUGCUGUUGUCCCUGUGGCGUGGCACUGUGGGACGGUCAACUCCUGAUCCGGACCUGGUGUUUACCAUCUGAGCGUUAGAGACAAUGGAUUUAGAUAGAUGUGUGAAAGAAUAACUGAGAAAGAUAAAGCGACCAGAUGUAAAAGUAACACAGAUUCUGUUAGCUCCAUUUAAUUAGGUGUGGUCGUCAGAAGAAGUGUCCAUAAAUUCUGAACAAUUACCAAGUCGUAACUUAUUAAAUUUGUAAACCAACCCAACUGGAAUCAUCUCAAUCGGACUUCUGGAUCUCGAGUUACAAAAUUAACAAGCUGACAGUGUCGGUCGAUAGGUUCAGAUUCUGAGUGCUUUACUAAUUCGCAUACACCUCCCAGACAGAUACACCAAAAAUUCUGAAAAAUUUACAGAUAGUACUCCACGAAAUUCUGAAACUAACCCCACUGGUUUCAUGUCAUUUGGACUUCUGUAGCUAGAGAUAUAAAUAAAAAAGUACUGGCGUGUCAGUUAAUGUCGAGAACAGAAUUGAAUGUCGCUUAGCUUGCGUGAUGGAUAGAUUUAGACAGAUGGUAGAUCAUGAUUAAGGAAGAUUAAAUACUGAUUUAGAACAGAAAUAAAACCCAACUAAGCACUUUAUUUAUUAAGACCAGUAUCGUGUGGCAAUUGCCCCACAUACCGCACUCAUUACAAAAUCCAACUCAAACAUGUAGCACAAAACCAAUCAUCUAAGCACACUUUAACUAACACACUCGAACGACGUCUAACGAUUACAAGAAUUUAAACUAAAACACUCCUAAUUUCCUAGAGGUCUUCUGCGGCGGUGCCGGGCGAGUCGUAGCGGGGACGCUUAGGCGACGGCGACGAAGCGGGAUGAACAGCAAACUCCUGCGGCGGCGGUGCUCCCGUCGCGGCAGCCAUAUUCGCAUCCCUCUCCCACCGGAGUUCCUGAACCUCCUGUUGAAGCUCCUGGAUGUGGUUGUUUGCUUCAUUCAAUGCGGUGAGAGCUGCCGACGUGUACUUGCGGAGGAAGUCUGUAGCCAUGUCAACCCCAUCGUUAGUAGCGAUGAAGGUUCUUGCUUCCCCACUAGCUCGGUAAGGAAGGAACCGAUGGUAAGUGUGCUGCAAUCGCGGCCGUUCCUUGUGGGAGACGACCUCAAGUGCCCUCCUGGCGGCCUCGGCAAUGCCGGAUUCCAUGGUCCUCCUUAUGGUCACAUCAUGGUGAAAAGCCUUCACCUCCCAUCCUCCCUCGUGCUCCUCACGAAGGACAACCUUCACCUCCCAAAAAGUGGGAUAGCGAGGGUGGGUGAACCGGGAGCACUUGUAGAGUGGCCUCAUGCCGUACCCCAAGCGGUGACAAGUCCACCUGAGUAUGUCGGCCAUGUGCACUCCUUGGCCAUAAUCUUCCUUCACCCAUUUGAUCCAUGUCUCGGGCUCGGGAUCUGCUUCGGGCUCAUCAUCCGUCAAGUCGACGACCGGUACGGGCGUCGGGGCUGGUGCAGGAGCGGGCGCCGGUGCUGGCGACGGUGCUGGUGACGGCGUGGUCUCCUGCUCCACGGUCACGGCGUCCCCGUCAGAGUCAUCCCCCGGAUGCUGGAAGAUCUCUUCCUCUUCUUCCUCGUCCCAAGGCUCCAUGGGGGCGUACGACGGCGCGAUGCCAUGACGCGGCGGACGGGUGCUCUUGCGUGCGGUCAACCGGGUGCGAGCCAUCUAACAGAAAGAAAGAAGAAAAUUUUAGAAUAAAAUUUUGAACAAAGCUAGAUAAUAAAAUAGCAAUAAGGAUGAGACAAAUCAAGUUUAAGAAUAAUUAAGUAGAUUUAAAUUAAGAAAGGUAGGAAUGGCUACUAGAUUAUUAUAAUCCUUAAAUACGACCAUUUUCUAACUAGGCUAACGUCCUACAGUCAACACGGCUCUGGUACCACUUUUGUCACACCCGAUUUUAAGGACAAAAUCGAGUGCAUUAAAUACAUGUGCGCCAGGAUCAAGUUACACACAUGUACGACAAUAGUGAAUAGUAAAGCCAGUGCUAAAUCGAAUAAAGAGAGUAUUAACCAUUAUUACAUGACCGAAUGUCUCAAAUAAACCACAAAGUCUAAUUAUUACGCAGCGGAACUCCAAAGAUGACGACGACUCCAUAGGCAGCUGACUGAAGAAACGUACGCCUAGAACUCCUCGAAGUCGUGGAAGUACUCCUCUUCCCAAUUAACUUGGUCUGAACAGCGGUUUUGCAAGGGUGAGUACACUUAUGGUUGGUACUCAACAAGUCGUGGGAAGUAGUGUAGUGUAAGGCUAAUUCAAGGUAUGGCUAAGGCGUAAAUAGCAUUCGCUUUUAAUUAAGUUGGUCAAAUUUUAUUAGCAUUUACUAAGUAUAAGUUCAUACCACCCGAAAUUAAACAUGAACAUAAAGUAAACCACAUGUGCAUGAAAUGAUAACAAAUUAAAUCCAUCUUCCGAUAAUAUUAUCAUGUGAGGGUCCAGGCCGCUCUUAACCGUGAGCACGGCUGAUUGAUCAGUUUAACACUCUGCAGAGGUGGCACAUCUUUACCCACAAGUCGCGUAAAAGUUCAAAAGAACUUUGGACCCAACCAUGCGGUGUUUGCAAGGCACCAUACCACACUUCCGAGGUGUGAUUGCAUAGGGACGCUACGAGGCCUUUACAAAGAUUCAUUAAUCAGUGGUAACCCGCUAAGGUUUCGGUGUCUGGCGUGCACCACCCAUCCCAGGUAAAAUGCAACGACUCAGUCCCCCCCCUUGAAUCAUCACGAGUAAGGUCACCCCAGACUAAGGUUUCUAAUUAAUCAGCCAAGACCAGAGCUAUUUAGUCUUGUGGUAGCACUGUUUUCCUGGGUGGUCGCUCCAUGUUCUGAUUAACAAAUAAUGAUCUUGUCUUAAUGAAAGGUAUAACAGAAAUAAGGCAAGAUUAAGCAUUGUUUUUAGUUAAACCACCAUGUACCAAGUAAGCACUAAGCAUGAGCUACCCAACAUAAAGUAAACCGGUUGGUCAAGGCAAAGGUAAAACAAUCUAGGCCAACCUUAAUUGGGACCCAUCAAUUUAAUCUUAAUAUGUGCACAGCAUAAAUGUUGAGUACGAGAAAGUAAAGGUGUAUAGGACAAAAAGGUAGUGAUCAAGGACACGACUUGCCUUCUUGGCCUUGCUCCUGCUGUUCGUACUCCUCGAAGGCUUGAUCGGCAACUCCCUCGAACUGCGGGGCGUCUACACGCAUCACACGAGCACAUACAAGCAAACAUGGGCAAAAGUAAGAAAACAGUAUACCAAACAUAGUCAAACAGAGAAAACAAGCUUGAAAAGAUGAUCUACGCUUUAAAACGAACACGCGGAUAUAAAGAACGCGAAAAACGGAGUUAAGAUGCAAAAGAUAUGAUUAAAACAAAAUCCAGGGACUUUUCUGUAAGAAAAACAAAACUUUUAGGGCCUAUCCGCGAAAACCGAGGGCUUAUACGUAAUUAUGCGUAUAAACCGAGGGUCUGAUGCGUAAAAACAUCAAACCCGGACGGCGGGUUGAUUUCUGGAAAGGUCAAGGGUUAAACCGAAAAAUGCGAGGGCAGAUCUGUAAAUACUUUCAACGCGAUCUGGACCGCGGGUUGAUUUGCGAAAAAGGCGGGGGCUAAAGUGCAAAAACUGCACGGCGCGGCUCGGUUGACCGGUACGCGAUCUUGAUUGACUCGCGUCCGGCCGUCGGAUUAAGAUCCGACGGUCGCGGUGAUCCGCGACAUCGCGGCGGCGGCGGCGAGCGGCGGCGAGCGGCGGCAAGCGGCGGCGGGUCGCCGGAGUUAGGCAAAAUAGCGCCACGAGGCACGGUUUAACGCGCGGGUUGCACCAAAAAAGAGAGGGGAACACGUCGAUCCCGUUUUGGGGGUUCUUGUCGACGGGGGCUCACCGGCGACGGCGAACGGCGGCGAGGAAGAGGCGGCGGCGCUAGGAGCUCGGGCGGCUAGGGUUUCGGGGAGCUGCGGCGCUGGUUUUGGGCGGAGGAGACUGGGAGGAGGCGGCGGCUUUUAUAGGGCUUGGAGAUAGAGCCGGCGCGGGUUCAAAUCCCCCGGAGGAGUCGGAGCGGAUGGAGUCCGGGGCGGAGACGGCGCGCGGCGGUUGCGGAGUUCUGACCGGAUUCGGCCGGAGGUGGGAGACGAUGGGUGGGGUCCACCCGUCAGUGGCGGAGGGGAGCGGUAGACGGGCCGGCGCGACCGUGGGCUGGCGCGCGCUCGUGGGCUGCGGGGAGCGGGAGAGAAGCGGCGAGCGGGCGCUGGCGGAGCAGGCCGAGCGGAGGUAGAGCUGGGCCGCGGAGAAAAAGGAGGAGGCCGGCGGGCUGCUUCGCAGGCCGGUAAGGAUGAGGCGGCCGGGCCGAAGAAGAAAAAGAAAAGGAGGGACAAGGAGCUUUCGGCCGAGGGAAAAGAAGAAGAAAAAGAAAAGGAAGAAGAAAAGGGAAAAGGUUUUGGAAUUUGAAUUUAAAUCUGAAAUUCAAAAUUUGAUUCAAACUCAAGCAACCAAAAAUUAUGCUCCAGCAUGAAUGCACAAAUAAUUCCUAUGAUGAAUUAAUUGAAUUAAAGAAAAUGAAUUUAAAUGCCUAGAAAUUAAAUAACACCCUAAUUUGAGCAAAUUUUAAUGAAUUUGAAUUAUUGAAAUUUUGGGUGUUACAUUGGUACUACAUCUCAUGUAGUAGAGGCGAUUGUAAGAAGCAACUUGAAAAGAAGUUUGAUCACUACUAUUGCAAUAAAUGUGACAAGAGAGCCGAACCUAAAGCCCAGUAAAUUAUUUAGUAGUUUACAAUCUUAUUAUAAUACUUCUAUUUCUAAUAGGAGAAUAAUAUUUUCAGAUUCAAAUUAAGCUUCAAAUAAGUGAUCCAACAACAAGUGCAACUUGUGUACUUUUGACAAGGAAGCAGAAAUGAUAAUUAAUGAAUGAGCAGAUUCGAUGAUCACCUCAGUUGAUCAUGAUAAUAAGUAGCUACCAAAAUCAAUUCAGGAAAUAUGUGAAGAAACAUUGAUUUCUCAAUUCAGAUUGACCGAGUACAACUUGACAAGUUUUAGACCUGAUUAUACUGUUUCAAAGAUAUUUUUUCCAAAAGAAAAGGGCAGUUCAAGAAUUGGUAUGGAAAGUGUAAAAAAGGUAACACUUUAUUAUUAAUUUUUUAUUGCACUUUUUUCUUUUGAAUCCGUAAUACUUAAUAAUUUUACUAUAUCAAUGAAACAAAUUCUAACCUAAAUUUAUUUUCUUUUUUAUUAUUUGUAGGAAGUAGAAGACAACUCAGACAAAUGCUACACGAUAACUACCGAGAAUGAAGAGGUAGACACUGAUGACUCUUUUACCGAGAAAGUAACAUUCGUAGAAGAAGCCAUAAGGACUGGGGAAAGAUUGGCUAGAAAAGUAUACUCACUUCCAUGUCAGUGUUCAUUCUAUUUACAAUACAUGCAAAAAAAAUAUUAUUCAUGCAAAAUUGCAGGUCUACUAAGCAUUAAAGGAAUAGCGGAUAGUGCAAUAUGUAAUCUGAGCAGCAUGCAUUACAAAGUGCUCUACUGCAAUUAAAUUAAAAAACAUGAUAUAUGUUGAAUUCUUAGACUUUAUUAUUAUACUUUUCUACGUGACAAUUCACAAUUUUUUAGAAAAAAGAAGAUCCCAGAAGAAGUGACCAUGAAAAAAGGUCUAUGACCAGCAAUAAGAAAAAAUGCAAGCAUAGAAACAAAUCCGUAGAAAACAUAGAAAAUAAGGUACUCCAUAAACAAAAGUAUUCUCUUAUAUUUUUAUUAAAUAUUUUUUUAACACUUGACAAGUUCUUUUUUAGGAUCAAUAUAUCAGCAAUUCAGAUGUCAUUGGAGAUGAAACCUUAGUUCAUCCAAAAGGUCAAAAAAAAACAUCUGAAGAAAGGUGUUUGGCUGAAAAGGAAAAGCAAAAAAGUGGUAAUGCAGACAAACACAUGCAGAAAAAUAUAAAAACAUGUCAUAGGGAGGCAGACCAAUCUUGCAAGGAGGUAUAGACGAAACGUGAUACACGACCUGCCUACCUUGUCGUGGAUACCCCAAGAAGAUGUCAUAGAGGUGCAGACCAAGCUAGCAAGGAGGUCGAAACGUGAUACACGGCCUGCCUACCUUGCCGUGGAUAUUAGCCCUGAGAUCAUUCUACUGUUCAAGGAAUAACACUCAAUGCUGCUGCUGCUGCUGACCUGGCUCCAUAAAGUUAUACUCCUCUAGGUGCUUGCACUAACUUUAUCUGAAGUAUUAUUCUCUCUGCACUGUAUAUAUGGUUAUGGAGUUUGCUGGAGUAUCCGGGGCGAAGAACCUACAUAAUACGUCUUGGAACUAAUUGACAUUGAUUCACAGACAAACUCUACAAGGUGCUGUUCUUGCCAUUUUAGAGCAUCCAAAGGACUAUAAAUAACAUAGUUUACCAUAUACCAUAUACCAUAUACCAUAAUAUGUUAGCUAAAAUAAGAGCAUACACAUGUUGCAGGAGUCCAAAAGCACCGGUUGAGGACCAGGUACAUUGAAUUACUAGAAAAAGACAGGGGACAAGGUUUAGGUAACCACAUGAAACAUUUGAAUUUAUUGUACUAUGAACACUUAGUUACCAUGCCAGGAGCACAUAGUUAACACUAACAUUUAGCCACUUUAGAUCAUCCCGAAUCACCAAUGACCCUCAAUAGUGACAAAUUUUGGUUUAAAUGCCAUCACCAAUGAUCCUCAAUAGUGACGUAUUUAGGUUUAAAUCCCGUCACUAAUAACCCUCAAUAGUGACCUGUUUUGGUUUAAAUCUCAUUACCACUGAUCCUCAAUAGUGAUGUGUUUUAGCAAAACAUGUUAUCAAUGACUUGUCAUUGGUGACGUGUUAAAACGCGUUAUCUCAAUGGCAAAUCAUUGGUGACGUGUUAUCUCAAUGUUAUCAAUGUUCUAUUCUUUUCAACAAUACCAGCUCGUUCCUCCGUUUUUAUUCCACCAAUACAAGCACCACCUUGUAACAUUUCCUAUGUUUUUUUUCCUUUUGUCUGUUUUCUCACUACAUGCGUUGCUCUUUCAUGCAUUUUUUUCCAUUCCUGUAUUCCAAAUAGGUCUACAUGAACACAAAAUGAACUAGGGGACAGAAAAAGCCAGUGAAGCCAAUUUUGAGCUUCACCAGCUACUUGCUACAUAAAGUGUGCUAUAGUGACGUGUUUUAGCAAAACAUGUUAUCAAUGACUUGUCAUUGGUGACGUGUUAAAACGCGUUAUCUCACUGGCAAAUCAUUGGUGACGUGUUUUAAAAAAACAUGUCACCGUGAGAGUCAUUGGUGAAGGGUAAUUAAAAUGCGUCACUAAUGUUGUAGCAUUAGUUAUGAUAAUUUAGUAACGCAAAAAUCUACCAUCAGUAUUGAGCUUUAGAGCCAUCGCUAAUGUGGGUUUCUUACAUAGUGAUGCAAGCUCUACAAGGUGCUGUUGCUGCCAUUUUAAAGCAUCCCAUGACUACAUGUUAAUAACAUAGUUUACCAUAUAUCAUAAAAAUAUUAGUUACAAUAAGCACAUACGCAUGUGGAAGAGUCCGAAUGCACCGGUUGAGGACUAAACACAUUGAAUUACUAGAACCAAAUGUAUGUUUAGAACAAAGACAGGGGUCAAGGUUUGGGUAACCGCAUUAAAAACAUUGGAUUUUACUGUACAUGAACACUUAGUUACCAUUACCAUGCCUUGAGCACCUAGUUACAACAAACAUUAAUUUAGCCACUUUAGAGCUUCCAGAAUCGCUAUAAAUAAUAUACCUACGCCGUACCAUGAAAACAUCAAGAAGAGAGACGGAUACAUGGACCACCAUCAAGCGAGUAGUGACAGCACGCACAAGAAUACCCGGAACCUGUUAGCUUGUCUGUAGUGAUCUGUUUUCUUCCCCAUAAAAUCCAUGAGUAUUGCCACAAAUAAUGAAAGAGGCUGACCAAGCUAGCAAGGAGGUAGAGCAAACGUGAUACACGGCCUGCCAAGAUUGCCCUGGAUACGCCAAUAAGAGCGACAGAUACAUGGAUCACACCAAUAUGGUGAAACGUAUAUUCAUCACACAAGCAAAGCUGGUCAGUUUAUCCAUGGUCAAAUUGUGGUCUUUGUUUUCACUUGAGAGCUAAUUGAGGCACUAUAAUAUGGGCAGGCCUAUCUUCAACAGACAUGACAGCUACAGGGAACUUGACAUAAUUUGCUGGGCCGCCUGUGCACAAUUAUUUGUUUUAUUGUCCUUGCAUAGAAUGCUAAAAUACUCUUUACAAAAUGUUGGAUCUAAUAUUUGAAAUAUAGAGUAGUAAUCAUAUAUUGAUCAACAACUUGAAAUUAUCUGUACAUUCUCGGUGAAGCUGUUGAACUAAUUUUUGCAAAUUAUUAAUUCAUCUCAUUACGUAAAGAAAAAAGUAAGUGGAUAAGAUAUUUCGUGGACCACAUCACUGCAAACAUGUCAUGGAGAGACAGACCAAGGAGGCAGGACGUGAUACACGACUUACCCUAGGUUGCCGUGGAACCGCCAAGAAGAGAUACAGAUACAUGGACCACACCAUCUUGGGAGUAGUGACAGCAUAUAUGCAGAAGAAUACCCCGUGCCUAUUUGCAUGCAUGUCUCAAGUGAUCUGUUUUCUUCAGAAAAUACAUGAGCAUUGCCAGAAAGAAUGGCAAGAGACAAACAUGUCAUAGAGACUUGCAUGUCUUGCCUUGGAUACGCCAAGAAGAGGGACACAUACAUGGAUAACACAAAUCUAGUGACACGUAUAUUCAUCACAAAGGCAAAUCUGAUAAUUUUAUCCAUGGAGCAGACCAAGGAGAAAUUGAUGACGGACAUGUGAUCUCUGUAUUCAGUUGAAAGCUAAUUGAGCUACACUAAUAUGAGCAGGACUAUAUUCAAGAGACUUGUUGAGAGCUACAGGGAACUUGUAAUAAUUUGCUGGGCGGCCUGCGCACAAUGAUUUGUUAUACAUAGUUGAAAUAUUUCAAGAAUUUAUCAACCUCAUACUCUGAAACCCUUGGUGCAAUGUACUCUGCUUUCCGAGGUAGACUGUUCACGUAAAAUGAGGUCAUGCGUAAGACGGAAUCGGAUUGGAUUCACAGGGAAUCAGAUUUGGAUAGCACCUUUUAGCAGGUUUUUAGUCAAAUGCAAAUUCGGAUCCACAUGUGGUUGAAUGCGAGUUCAAAAUUCUACUUGGAUAUCCAUUUAAUUUAGGUGAUAGCAAUUAGCACAAAAUGUUGGAUGAACAAAAUCAUAGUUAGACAUACAAUUACAUGUAUGGUUAAAGUAUAAUACAAUACACCAAGAUUAUUCCUUGAAAAUAUUUCUUAAAAAUAUUAUAAUAAAUGAAUAAAUAUAAUUGUGGCCACCAACAAAUAGUCGGUGGUCGCUAAGUUGGAGCCAUUUCUGGUUACUAAUGCGGCCUUCUCCUCGACCAGCGACGACAGCUGAGCUUGUUCCUUCUGACACUAAAUCAUCAGAGUCUUCCCUCCACUACUAUAGAAUGCACCUUUAGCACCAAUUGGGAAAUCCCCUUCAGUAUUGGAUGCUGCAACCAGUGCUAUAUAUCAAAAUGGAGACUAAAAGCCUCGGUCUUGGGUACCGGUUGCAUAACGCAUUACUAAAGGAGGCAAAAGAGAAAUGUAACAAAAAAAAUAUUUUGAAUUCCAAGAAUGUUUCACUAUUCAAGAUGACUAGCUGAGAGUCAACAGACAAGAUACUAGGAAUGUGGGUGCUUGAAUGCAUUUGUACAGAGGUCAUACUAUUUACAAACUCUUCUAUGUUUCCAUAUGACUACCUACUUCAAUGUCACGCGAGCCAUUCAGCUGGACACAUGGCACACUAGCUUGCAUGUCGAAUCCAUGAUUAAUUAUUUGCACUUGUGAUCUCUUACCAGUAUUUGUCCAGACUAGAAACGUGCAACACAUUUUUAGGAUAUGGACACGCAUAUAUUUGGACUAGUAUACAGGUCACCUUUGGAUGCGUACAAGGAUGACCGGGAGGGACUAAUGGAUACAAGGAAGGGACCAUCAGGAUUAAUAUUGACAUAUGCCACAUGACAAUCUUCAUUGUCAUGCAAUCCCUAUCAACAAUCAUGGAAUCCCUAGUGUACUAAUCCCUGGAGGGUUGUGUGGAAAUUUAUUUUACCUUGCGGUGAAAAUCUCAUGAGCAGUCAUUAGUUAAGCUGACUAGCUGAGAUAUAAUAGACAAGCUAGUAAGAUUGGGAGCAUCAAUGCAUCCAUACAGGGUCACAAUAUCCUUUCCAUUCACUUUUAUAUAUAACCCUACGAAUACAAGUCCAACGAAAUGCGGGCCUUUCGAUCAAGAUAAAUUAAAUGGCCCACUUGUAUUUCUAAUCCAGGAUUAACUAUGCCCUCUGUUCAUCUCUUGCAAGCACGUGCAACACAUUUUCACGAUAUGGACAUGCAUGGAGGUUAUUAUACUGUUUGGACAAACUCUGAUGUGCCAUGACCUAAAUGCUUAGGGCCUGUUUGGUUUGAGUUGCUUAUUAUAAGCAACUUAAAGUUGCUUAAAGUUGCUUAUUUGAAGUUGCUUAUUUUUAGUCUAAACUGUUUGGAUACCCUUGCUUAUGAGCAUUGAAUGAGUUGGACAUUGUCAAAUUUGCCCCAUGUGUUGCUACCCCUCCAAUUUGCCUCCCCACCCUUCUUCUUCCUGCACACGUCCGAUCCCGGGGGCCGACGGCGGGCAGGGAGCAGCAGCAGCUGGCCAGGGCGGCGGUGGGGCGGGAGCGGCGGCGCACACCAGCACGCGCUCGCACGCCAGGUGCUAGGGCGCGGCGAGGCAGUCGUCGUAGCCCACCGGGAGCGGGUGCUCGGGCGCGAGGCGGUACUCGACGGAGAUGCCGAGCGUCGGGCGCGCGGCGGCGAGCGCGUUGAGGAAGCGAUGGUAGUGCGGCGACGUCGCGGACUCCGCCACGAAGCCGCCGCCGUGGACGUACACCACCACGGGCAGCUUCGUCUUGCCGUCGGCGGCCGCGGCCGCGGCCUGGGGUGGCAGGUAGAGGCGGACGGAGCAGGAGCCGAGGUCGACGUCCCUGGAGUCGACGCCCGUGGCGGCGUCCAGGCUGGGCCCGACCGGCGGCGGCACGAGCGGGCGCUCGAUGCGGCCGCUCUUGUAAAUCCGACGGGUCUGUGCGGAGGCGGGCGGCGGGCGGGAGCGGCGGGUGGGAGCGGCGGCAGGUGGUGCGGAGGCCGGCGGCGGCGGGUGGCGCGGAGGAAGGGGAGCUGGUGAGUGGUGACAGGGGAGGGGGGGAGAGAGAGGGGGGGUAGGGUGCAUUGAAUGAGGGCAGGAGGUGUAAAGUGCACCUUUUAGUCCCCAUGAGCAACCAUAAGCAGCCCAAGAGUUGCUUAUUUGCUUAUAAUAAGCAACCUCAUAAGCAAGAGUGAUUGGUUUCAUAAGCAACUUAUUUGCUUAUUUUAAGUUGCUUAUGCAUAAGCAUGUGAAACCAAGCAGGUCCUUAACCUAUGGUUGUGGCACCACACAGUACAUAGUAUUUAAUAAUGCUAUUCGUUUGGUAUGUGCACAAGGGCACGCAUGAAAUGUCUGGCCCACGGUAAACAAGUACGGACGCUGCAAAUAAUCUACUCUGCUCGUCCAGUCCCUAGCCUAUAAAUAGAUGCCAUGCUAGCUCUUGUUGUGCUCACAAUUAAUCCUGACUACACACGAGCUUCUCUCCCUGGCCAAGACACAAUCAUAGUAUGAUGAAGAACAUGGCACUAGCCGGCAAUGGUAUGAAGAACUUAAUCCUCGCUGUUCUCUUACUGUGUCUAGUUAUAGGGCAGAUACAAGUGGAAGCUAAGAGCUGCUGCCCAUCCAUUACUGCAAGAAAUAUCUACAAUGCCUGCCGUAUCACGGGUACAUCCCGUCCAACGUGUGCAAAACUGUCAGGCUGCAAAAUUAUCAGCGGGGACAAAUGCAAGCCCCCUAACGACCACCUCACCCUUGACCCGGACACUGGUAAAUAAUAAAUUUAUCUCACUUGAUUUCUUCGUGUUUUGAGUCGUUAAUGUAUUUUCCAUCUGAUGAAACGUAUUGGUUUUGCAUUGAAGAGGAAGUUAAUGUGCUUAACUUCUGCAAGUUGGGGUGUGCGUCGUCUGUGUGCAACAACAUCAACGCUGGUAAGCACCUUUUGCUCAGACGGAGAAAACAAUAAUCAUUAAUUAGCGGCAGCUAGAAUCCUAUAAUCUAAUAUAUUUAUAUAUAUAUAUAAUUUUAUCAGCUCUGGGAAAUGAAGAGGCGAACGAUGCCGUUGAGAGUUGCGACCAAGCCUGCUCUAGCUUCUGCAACGUGCACGUUGGCGCUGCCACCGUGGUUGCUUAAGCAAAUGCAUCCAACUGGAUCGUCCUUGUGCUAAAUAAUUGGAUAUCGUAUCCACUUAAAGCUGCCUUGUGUAGUACGUUUUUGUUUGUGUCUCUCUUUAUAUUCCAAUAAGGUCGGUGAUCUUGAUGCCACACACUCAGACGUGUGUUCAUCUCCAGAUACUACUCCAUGCUACCUGCCCUUUGUGUUUUGUUCAAUAACUGGGUAUCAUAUCCCAGCCAGUGUGCCAUCUGUUUUGUGUUUAUUUCCUUCUAGUUUCAAAGGGGUUAUCAUGAUGUUACCUUCUUUCGAUAUGGUGCUUUGCAUGACUACUGUUGUAUGGUACCAUCUUGUUGGCCAAUAAAUACAUCUUAUCCUAUGACCCUUUGCUAUGACCCUUUGCAAAUAAGUACAAGAUUGUUAAAUACUCGGUAUAAAUUGACUACUGCUGUGAGUUCCCUUUCAGCUUAUCGUAGGCAUACAUUAUUGCUAGCACGGUGAAGACAACCAACACGAAUGGUCAAGUAAACGUACCGGUACUUUUGUAUACCAACACCCUUGCUUAAAUGUACCGGUGUUACUCCCCACUAGCACAUAUAUUCUUAUAUGCUAGCCGGCUUGAAAAUUAACCGAUUAAAAUAAUUAUUUCAAGACAGAAAUAACUUAUCGGCUUCUCGAAGCAUGUGUAAUGUGAAUUCAAGGACUUGAUGGAAGUUGAAUCGCUUAAUCUAGAUUGCUUUCAGGAUUUUGGGUAACUAAAUUUAACAUUUGCACAUACAAAUGUUAAUGUACAAAUAUUAAAUAUAGUUACCCAAGCAGAAUAUGAAGAUACUCUAUAGUAUAUAUAUACUAUAUAAAUCUAGUUAACAUUUAGUCUAAAUGUUAAAUCUAGUUACCUAAAAUCCUGAAAGCAAAAUGUAUAAAUAUAUAUCUUUUAAGGAAUCCCAAAGCAAGAGUUCAGUGGCAUUCUAUAGUCCCAUGCUGCUAGUUUGAGUUGGUCGAAGCCAACUUAAAUAGGAGAGCUCUCUCACUUCUCUAAAUACGUAACUGAAGGAGAGAAGGGGGCUUGGUUACACAACGCACGCACGCACGCAUAUUUGCGUUCUUUUCGCGUAACCAACCGCGUGACUUGAAACUUGCGACGUAGCGUGCUGCCAAGUCAAGUUGAUAUAACCUUUUUGCCGUAGGCGUGUAAUCUUUUGACAACGGUCAUUGGAGGUGAUAAGCACGCAGUCAAUACCUUAAUCCUGAGUUAAUAGGGCGGUUACUACUGCCAAUUAGUGGGGCAAUUUUGUAGGGGAAACGGUUAGCAGAGGGCUACCAUCUUCUCUAUAAGAAGUUCUGGAGACGUCCAGGAACACACAUGUACAUGUGAGAGACCCACGAAUUCCUUCCCAUCUCCCUUUUCCAUCUGGUGAAGUGUGCUAUGGUACUGAGCUGCUGGAUCUCGCCGGCUCUUCUCCUUGGCGUGCACCGAGGAGGAGGGUGAGCGGUAUCUCCGAGCUAUUGCCGUCAGGAAGCCUGCACGAGGGACAACAAUAAAGUUUUUGGGUAGCGCAACUACGCAACCGCUCGAUUCGAUCGACUAUGUUCUGCGCUGCCUCAUCUUCGAUCUGCACUGCAACACGUAACCCUGCAGCAAGUCUACACAAGGACGGAGCACUAAUCUGUAAGUCCUAGAUUGGUUUCUUACAGAGUUGUAGGUUACACAAGAUCUAGAAUUGUUACAUACUUAUUAUUAUGGGUUACAUGAUGUUUUGUACGGUUACGUCUAUUUUGCAUAUGCUAUUUUUACAUACCGUUUACAUGCAUAUGUAAUGGUUACGCCUAGCUAUUUGAAUCUAGAAUUGGGUUACAUAGCAGUAGCAAUGACUUACGUAAUAUGCCUCAUGUUUAUAUCUGGUAGAAUUUAACACGUAUCUCCAACAUAUUUUGAGGCAGUAUAAAUUUCAAUUCCUUUUGCUGCUCUGUUAAAUCCCGUCUUUCGUGUGGCCCAACACUCUAGUAUGCAUGUAGCACCAAGCUUGUUUGAGCCGCUUUGUGCUCUGAUUUUGCUGUCUGUAUCAGGUUGGACUGUUUCUUUGUCUUGCGAUGUAUAGCUUCAUAUCUUCUAGAGGUUAGACAGCAAAACCCGCGUUCUCUUAAGGCAACAACUCGAAGAAUCUGCAGCGCUCCUGAUAUAUCACUGCUGCAGAAACAAUCUUUAGUACUGAUUUCCAACCCCCUUUAGUAUCGGUUUGGCAAUCAGUACCACUACGUCGGUACUAAAGGGAGUUCUCUAGAAUCGGGUCAAAUAACUGGUACUAAAAGUGCUCCUCUACUACCAGUUGGUAACACCAAUAGGUAGUAACUUUUUUUGCACCCAAAAAAUUAAAGAAAAACAGCCGGGAGGCUCGCGCACACACGCAUCAUGAGUAAUAUGCGCGUGCAUGGUUUGUGGGAUUCCAACCCACGACCAAGCUAUAAGCACGUAGUUACAAAAAAAUUAAACACUUAGACAUUUUAGAGCAUCCCAAAUAACUACAAAUUCUUUAGUUUACCAUAUACCAUAAAAUAUUAGUUAAAAUAAGAGCAUACGCACGUCGGAAGAGUCCCAAUGCACCGGUUGAGGAUCAGACCAGGCACUUUGAAUGCACAUGCCAUAAGAUAAUUCUGCAGGACGAUGAUUGCAAUAAUGGACCAUCGAGAAGAUAGGGGCGAUGGGGUUGCCUCAUCAAUUAUGACUUGGCGCAACAAGACCAGCAAAGUCUUUAUCGACAGGGGUGGAUCAAGGGGUGGGGCGGGUAGAGCUCCAAUCUUCCUACCGCCGCUCGAACAAUGGAGCCCCCCUUAGCCCCUCCAUAAAUUUUUAGGUAGAAGAAAAAAGAAGAGAAGGGAAGGAAGGGGAAGAAUAGGGAGCCCCUCCUAAGUAGGUCGCCAUCGUGCUUCCCAACGCAUGAUCGCCGCACCGCAUCCAUUCCUCUACAAGCCUCCAGCGUCUCUCCUGCCGCUACCUCUGAACCAUGUGCAGCUGCAGACCCAACUAGUGUCUUGUCACCCAUCUCAAUCCCAACAGAGCGGCGGCUCCUGCCAGCACAAAUCUCCCUCCGCCUGUUCUUCACGAUCGAUGGCCACCACAAGCAUAAACCUCGCCUUCGCAUCCACGCAAAAGGGUCGCCGGUGUGCCUUCUCGCAUCGCUUCUCAGCCUCCUUCACUUGCGGCUGGCCAAGAACCGUGCCACCACCUCGGGUGCGCGCCACCGCUCCAGGGCCGCUACCCCAUGCGUGCGGCCGCCGCCGGCCACCACGCGUGUGCAACCGUGUCGCACCGCUUCCCUGCUCUGUGCCACCACUGCUACUGCACCACCAGCUCCACCACCUUGGGCUGGUCGCCAGGGUGACUGAUUGGUGGAUUAUUACUACAAAUAAGUUCCUUAUUAUCUGCAACUACUAUUAACUCAGGGAUACAUGCGUCUUUUGCUUCUCCUGUUAAUAUGUCCUAAAAUAUCUAGAAUGCCUUAUAUUUCUGGACGGAGGAAGUAUUUGAAUAAAAUGAACCAAUUUUAAAAAAUGUGUUGUACACUACUACAGAAAGAACUAUCAGUGUCAAACCCAAAAAUGUCGUCACUGCCAGUUUUGGGCAUCGUUGGUGAAAGGUUGGCGGUGAUGGGUAUCCCCUUCAACAACGGCACUAGAGCUAACAGUGAUUGACAUUAGAAAACGAAAAAGGGGACCCACCUAGCCACCCCUGCAACCCGGCUGGCCGUGCCUCCCGUCAUCCCCACCACCUCGCCUCCCCCGUGACCCCCCGCCGGCGCCCUUGCGCCUAGCCCCCUCGCCUGCCUGGCCGGCCACCCUCGUCACGAGAGAGAGGGGUGCAUGUUGUAUAAUUGCGUGAAUUUUUAAUGUUUAAUUUCAUGUAAGUUUCAUAUAAUAAAUUGUACAAGUUUUAUUGUAUAUAUGAAUUCCAUAUAUAUAUAUUUAUAAUUUAAUGUAUGGUUUCAUGUGUAUAUUUCAAUAAUGUGUAUAUUUAGUAGAUAGCCGAUUUUCUUUUUCUACAAGACAAGGGUUGAUGUAUAAUUACGUGUAUAUGUUUAUUGUACGGGCAAUUAGGACAAGUUUUGUAUAAAUUUCUUUUAUUUCAUGGUUGUUGUAUGGUUUCAUGUAUAUACAUUUAUUGUACUACUUGAGACAAUUUUUAAUUUAAUGUUUCUAUGGUUACAUGUGUGUAUAACUAAUUGUAUUAUUAGUUAAGAUGGGAGCCAAAGAGGAUGAAAGGUAUAUAAUGGAGCAGAUUAUUGCUGGCGGUAGUGGCUCAAACGUUGCAAGAACCUACAUCAAGGGUGAGGGUAGCUAGGUGGACAUGUACCUCAACAUGUCCAGUGAUGGCAAUGACGAUGAGGAGCACGAGCAUGACGUUUAUGAUAGUGCGGAACAAGACAUUGCAGAAUUGGAAGGUUCUAAUGAGGUGUGCUUCAUGUUGAUGAUCUGGUUGGCUUUUUUUCUUUGGUCACACCUUAGUUACCAUAGAACUUCGUCUCGGGAGAAGAUUGGAGGUGCUAUGGUGAUUGGAAUUUUAUUGCCUCCAAAUAUGAUUUCCAUCGAAUCAUAUCCCUUGUAUUUAUCUUCUUUUUAUUUGUGAGAGCAUCUUCUUUAUGCUUGCAAAACAAUUCAAGUGCACAUACUACACCUAGGGUGAUGAUUAGGAGUAGAAACAAUUGCCAACAAACGAACACCACAUCCUAAGAUUCUUAACUUGUGGUAUAAUUAGUCUAGUAAAAAGAAAGAUAAAAACCUAAUGGGUGUACGUGAGUGCAAUGCGUAUAUGCAUAUGAGUGGAAGGCAUAUAAGCAAAGAUAAUAUUUACACAUAGAUCUAAGCACCAUGUUUACAACUAAGUUGCUGAAUUUCUCCAUAGCUAUAGAGAUUAAUGAACCAAGGUCAAAACACCAUGUCUAUCCCAAGAUCAGUAAUUCUUUAUAGCACAAGAAAAAGAAAGCGCAUUGCAAAGUUUAUAAACCAACCAAUGCAGCAUGAAAACAAGAUGAAUAGCUAGCAAGGUUUAUUAAACUGAAUGAUGACGGUCUGCAAGCAAGUUUGAACACCAUCUUUACACAAGAUUGCAAAUGGAAAAUUCCCAUAUGAAGAACUAACAUGGAUAUGAAAUCAUUCAUCAUAAAGCGUAAAGAACAACCAAGCCAACCAUAUGCAAAGCAUGAAUGGAAUGCAAUGAAGGUGCAAGAGAACAUUUUUGGAUGAACCCAUUAUGAUGAUGGCAAAAUGCGCCGUGCCCCCCAGCCCCCGCGGUGAGAUCCCGCCGCUCGCUGCCGCCAGACCCUAUUAGGCCUCCACCGGCAGGUCCACCCACGGUCCCGCGCGACGUGGCAGCCUCUUGGCUCUCGGCGCUCGCGGCACGCCAGUGCUGGCGCAGCCCCACCAGGCGACUACCCUCCCCCCAUAAGGCCUCGGCCCCUCCCCAGCGCCGCCCCCCAACACCAGGACUGCCUGCUGCCCCCCACCGUGAGGUAAUCGAAAUCGACUGCUCAAUCUCUCAAUCUGUUGAUAUGAUGCACACGGUUGCAAAAAUAGAUGUGUCAAAAUAGAUGUUUUGCCAAUUGCUAUAGAUGCAUACGGUUGACAUGAAGUCAAAAAUGACAUUUGGUUCCUUGUAGGCAGUCAAAAAUGAAGAAGUCAAAAAAUAUUGAUCUGAAAUCAAUGUGGGAAAGGGCUAUGAAGACACGCAGGUAGAUUCCCUUGUGAACUUUUUAUGUCGUUCGUCUAAAUAAUUUUUUGCAAUGGGCAUACCCUACUCUGAAAUCCUGGGUCCGCCACUGAUGAUGAUGGUCUAAAAAUAAACCAAGCCUAGAUUAAUUAGCCACAACUGAAAUUAAGCAAAGGUUAAUGUCAUUGACCCUAGCUCUAUCCUAGCUUUUACCAAAGUUCCGGCACAUAUAGUGGUUGGGCCCACUCUCUCUGCUUCCCUCUCUGCUGCAUGCACGCACACGAGCAACGGGAGGCCCGACGAAGCCCAGAAGGGUUCGGCCGAACCAGUAUGAGCGCCGCUCCCUCCCAGCCUUCGCGCAGAUGCUCCUCCAACGUUCCUUGACCCCUCCCUCAGCGUCCCGUUGGGUUUAACAUUGCAGGAGAGGAGUCCCUUUUUUAAAAUCUCAACCACCUCCUCUCCCCAUUCACUCCACUCUCAUCUCCAUCAAACUCACCAAGAUCCGCACCGGAAAUCCCUGCUUACCACCAUGGCUGGCAAAGCCCUCAUCCCUUUCACCAACUUGGGCUUGACCACUGAUCUCGAUGGGGAAAUCACUCUGGCAAAUAUGCGUGUAACACUGCCCCCUUUGCCGAGGGUUAAAGCCAAAACACUCAGCAAAGUGGAUAGUACCCCCCUUUUUACCCGUUUUGUCAUGUAUAACGGACCCCUCUCAAUUCACAAUAGACAUCAUCAUAGGCAUUUAUAAUAAACAAUCACAGGCAUAAUUCACAAUCACCAUUACAAGCAUUAUUCAUAAAUAUCACAGACAUAAUCCAAAGUAAGCAUGAAACAAGCCAUAAAUCCAAGUUCAAGUCACAACUAAGUUUCAUCCAAGUUCAAGUCACAAAUGCAAUGUCUAAAUCCAUGGAGGCCAAGGAGACCACUGCGACAAAUCUUGGUCUUCAUUAUUCGAAGCCGCCGAUUGAUUCUGCACAUAGGAUAGGACAUUCUGAGCUAACAUCUAAAGUUGUCAAAAUUAAAGUAUUCAAUCUUAAGCACAAUGUGUCAAAUGACUCACAGGAGUAGUUGUGGGUGGCUGAGGCGGAGGGAACAGCAUCGAUGGCGGUGGCAAAGAUUGACCCAUGCUCGAAGCAAAAUUCUGCAUGUACUGGAACAUCUGGUCCAUCCUCAUCCGAUUUUCUUCCUCCAUCCUCUGCCGCUCGGCCUCUAACCUCCGCUGAACCAUCUGCUCCAUCCUCGCCGCCAUCUCCUCUUGUUGCUUCCUUGCUGCUUCCACCUGGGCCUACAAUAUUUCAUUGCAAUGUUACAAUGCAAAGCUAAAGUAUAGCAACCAACGAACAAUGAAUGGAAGAGAAAGAACCUGGAGAGCCUCCAUCUGGAACUGUCCAAUGGUUGGUCGUAGCCGUAUCGCCGGGCUCGAGUCCGUGCUCCUUGCUUGGAUCUGGGAGAGAGUGGCAGUAGAGGCCGUGUUGAUUACGCCGUCGCCAAUCCAAUAUCGGCCAUGCUUCUUGCCUCCUCCCACCCUCAUCACGAUUUCUCCAUCAAUAUCCUCAGAGCUUGAAUCGAAGUCUGGCCCGUGAACCUCCCUUGCCAUCACUGUAUAUUCCUUUGCCGAGUGCCCGAGAUAAAGCACUCGGCAAAUAGAAAACACUCGGCAACUUUACUGUUUCCCGUAGUGUCGCUAUUUUUGCAGGUUCUCGACCAGGCCAGUUCUUUGGGCCAACCUAUCAUUCACGACUUAAACAUACGGUGGCUGUAGAAAUGUUCUAUUCUUUUCAACAAUACCAGCUGGUUCCUCCGUUUUUAUUCCACCAAUACAAGCACCACCUUGUAACAUUUCCUAUGUUUUUUUUUCCUUUCGUCUGUUUUCUACAUGCGUUGCUCUUUCAUGCAUUUUUUUCCAUUCCUGUAUUCCAAAUAGGUCUACAUGAACACAAAAUGAACUAGGGGACAGAAAAAGCCAGUGAAGCCAAUUUUGAGCUUCACCAGCUACUUGCUACAUAAAGUGUGCUAUAGUGACGUGUUUUAGCAAAACAUGUUAUCAAUGACUUGACAUUGGUGACGUGUUAAAACGCGUUAUCUCAAUGGCAAAUCAUUGGUGACGUGUUUUAAAAAAACAUGUCACCGUGAGAGUCAUUGGUGAAGGGUAAUUAUAAUGCGUCACUAAUGUUGUAGCAUUAGUUAUGAUAAUUUAGUAACGCAAAAAUCUACCAUCAGUAUUGAGCUUUAGAGCCAUCGCUAAUGUGGGUUUCUUACAUAGUGAUGCAAGCUCUACAAGGUGCUGUUGCUGCCAUUUUAAAGCAUCCCAUGACUACAUGUUAAUAACAUAGUUUACCAUAUAUCAUAAAAAUAUUAGUUACAAUAAGCACAUACGCAUGUGGAAGAGUCCGAAUGCACCGGUUGAGGACUAAACACAUUGAAUUACUAGAACCAAAUGUGUGUUUAGAACAAAGACAGGGGUCAAGGUUUGGGUAACCGCAUUAAAAACAUUGGAUUUUACUGUACAUGAACACUUAGUUACCAUUACCAUGCCUUGAGCACCUAGUUACAACAAACAUUAAUUUAGCCACUUUAGAGCUUCCAGAAUCGCUAUAAAUAAUAUACCUACGCCGUACCAUGAAAACAUCAAGAAGAGAGACGGAUACAUGGACCACCAUCAAGCGAGUAGUGACAGCACGCACAAGAAUACCCGGAACCUGUUAGCUUGUCUGUAGUGAUCUGUUUUCUUCCCCAUAAAAUCCAUGAGUAUUGCCACAAAUAAUGAAAGAGGCUGACCAAGCUAGCAAGGAGGUAGAGCAAACGUGAUACACGGCCUGCCAAGAUUGCCCUGGAUACGCCAAUAAGAGCGACAGAUACAUGGAUCACACCAAUAUGGUGAAACGUAUAUUCAUCACACAAGCAAAGCUGGUCAGUUUAUCCAUGGUCAAAUUGUGGUCUUUGUUUUCACUUGAGAGCUAAUUGAGGCACUAUAAUAUGGGCAGGCCUAUCUUCAACAGACAUGACAGCUACAGGGAACUUGACAUAAUUUGCUGGGCCGCCUGUGCACAAUUAUUUGUUUUAUUGUCCUUGCAUAGAAUGCUAAAAUACUCUUUACAAAAUGUUGGAUCUAAUAUUUGAAAUAUAGAGUAGUAAUCAUAUAUUGAUCAACAACUUGAAAUUAUCUGUACAUUCUCGGUGAAGCUGUUGAACUAAUUUUUGCAAAUUAUUAAUUCAUCUCAUUACGUAAAGAAAAAAGUAAGUGGAUAAGAUAUUUCGUGGACCACAUCACUGCAAACAUGUCAUGGAGAGACAGACCAAGGAGGCAGGACGUGAUACACGACUUACCCUAGGUUGCCGUGGAACCGCCAAGAAGAGAUACAGAUACAUGGACCACACCAUCUUGGGAGUAGUGACAGCAUAUAUGCAGAAGAAUACCCCGUGCCUAUUUGCAUGCAUGUCUCAAGUGAUCUGUUUUCUUCAGAAAAUACAUGAGCAUUGCCAGAAAGAAUGGCAAGAGACAAACAUGUCAUAGAGACUUGCAUGUCUUGCCUUGGAUACGCCAAGAAGAGGGACACAUACAUGGAUAACACAAAUCUAGUGACACGUAUAUUCAUCACAAAGGCAAAUCUGAUAAUUUUAUCCAUGGAGCAGACCAAGGAGAAAUUGAUGACGGACAUGUGAUCUCUGUAUUCAGUUGAAAGCUAAUUGAGCUACACUAAUAUGAGCAGGACUAUAUUCAAGAGACUUGUUGAGAGCUACAGGGAACUUGUAAUAAUUUGCUGGGCGGCCUGCGCACAAUGAUUUGUUAUACAUAGUUGAAAUAUUUCAAGAAUUUAUCAACCUCAUACUCUGAAACCCUUGGUGCAAUGUACUCUGCUUUCCGAGGUAGACUGUUCACGUAAAAUGAGGUCAUGCGUAAGACGGAAUCGGAUUGGAUUCACAGGGAAUCAGAUUUGGAUAGCACCUUUUAGCAGGUUUUUAGUCAAAUGCAAAUUCGGAUCCACAUGUGGUUGAAUGCGAGUUCAAAAUUCUACUUGGAUAUCCAUUUAAUUUAGGUGAUAGCAAUUAGCACAAAAUGUUGGAUGAACAAAAUCAUAGUUAGACAUACAAUUACAUGUAUGGUUAAAGUAUAAUACAAUACACCAAGAUUAUUCCUUGAAAAUAUUUCUUAAAAAUAUUAUAAUAAAUGAAUAAAUAUAAUUGUGGCCACCAACAAAUAGUCGGUGGUCGCUAAGUUGGAGCCAUUUCUGGUUACUAAUGCGGCCUUCUCCUCGACCAGCGACGACAGCUGAGCUUGUUCCUUCUGACACUAAAUCAUCAGAGUCUUCCCUCCACUACUAUAGAAUGCACCUUUAGCACCAAUUGGGAAAUCCCCUUCAGUAUUGGAUGCUGCAACCAGUGCUAUAUAUCAAAAUGGAGACUAAAAGCCUCGGUCUUGGGUACCGGUUGCAUAACGCAUUACUAAAGGAGGCAAAAGAGAAAUGUAACAAAAAAAAUAUUUUGAAUUCCAAGAAUGUUUCACUAUUCAAGAUGACUAGCUGAGAGUCAACAGACAAGAUACUAGGAAUGUGGGUGCUUGAAUGCAUUUGUACAGAGGUCAUACUAUUUACAAACUCUUCUAUGUUUCCAUAUGACUACCUACUUCAAUGUCACGCGAGCCAUUCAGCUGGACACAUGGCACACUAGCUUGCAUGUCGAAUCCAUGAUUAAUUAUUUCCACUUGUGAUCUCUUACCAGUAUUUGUCCAGACUAGAAACGUGCAACACAUUUUUAGGAUAUGGACACGCAUAUAUUUGGACUAGUAUACAGGUCACCUUUGGAUGCGUACAAGGAUGACCGGGAGGGACUAGAAAUGGUCUAGUUUUGAUUGGACUACAAAACUUUUUGUACAGUGAAUAGAGAAUAUAUAUUAUUGUUGGAAUACGAGGUAGGCUACACUAUCGCAAUUCUGAUAUUCUACCGCGUAUAACCAAGAAGAACUGUCGUAUAAGGAUCACGGGAUUACCACUCGACGCACUACUGGUGCGGAAGAUGUAGAUAUGCGUCGAUGCAGUGAAGACGAUCACGUAGUCGUAUGUAGUCGAUCAACGUAGUCGUACAUAGUCGAUCACGUCCAGCAGCUCCUCAGCAGCUCGUCCACGUGCAGCAAGAUCGCCUCCGGUACCGCGGCUCGUCGUUGGCUUGUCGUGGCUCGUCGACGGCUCGUCGGCGGCUCGUCCAAGUGCUGCAGGCGCAACACCUCCAAGGUAUCCACACGUGCAGGGAGGAAGCGUCGCAAGCCGGACUGCUAGAUCCACGAGUUGCAACAGGCGAGGGCGUGGGAGGCGCGGCAGGUGUGUUUCGCCAAAAAGGUGUAAACCCUAGGGCGCCCCCACCCCUCUAUUUAUAGAGGUUCCUGACGGGCCUCUGGAUCCGAGGCCCAUUAGUACUUCUAAACCUAAUCCAACUCGGAUCAGAUCCGAAUUGGGCUUCCAGCCCCUUAAGUGUGUGACCCUAUAAGUUCGGAUACGUAUAGACAUGGCCCGAGUACUCCUACUCGGCCCAAUAGUCGGUAGCGGCCUCUAGCAAGACGUGCCAACUCCUAUACGCACACGAAGAUCAUAUCAGACGAACCAUCACAACAUAAUAUACAUGCUAUUCCCUUUGCCUCACGAUAUUUGGUCUAGCUUCAAGCCGACCGCUCUUUCUCAGUCCUGUGAUUCGGAAUCCCUUUGUAGGUUAACUCUUAACCGUACGUAGCAUGGCCAUGCAUUUUCGGAUCUGAUCACUCGAGGGGCCCAGAGAUAUCACUCUCAAUCAGAGAGGGGCAAAUCCCAUCUUGAUUGACCAUGUCUCAUAGCAUGCUUCUUGACAAACCUAAAAACUACCUUUAUAACUUCCCUGUUACGGCGUAGUGUUUGAUAGCUCCUAAGUAGGUCGAUCCACAUCUAGAAUACAUGCGACAAUUUCAGGUCUAAGGACAAAGCGUAUAUGUUGUUUAAAGAGAGAACUACUUCUCGUGUUGGGUCAGUCCCAGCACAUGUCUCCACAUGUGUCCACAUUAUUAGUUCAACAUCUCCAUGUCCAUGACUUGUGAAACAUAGUCAUCAACUAAUACAUGUGCUAGUCUAAUAUUCAUGUGUGUCCUCACAUGAACUCCGACUAGGGACAACUUUAGAAUAACCAUACAAGUAAAGAGUUUCACAUACAAUUCACAUAAUUGCAAAUCAAUUCAAGUAGCCUUCAAUGGAUAUUCAAUGAACACAACAUACAAAUCAUGGAUACAAAUGGAAUAUCAUCAUCUCUAUGAUUGCCUCUAGGGCAUACCUCCAACAGUCUCCCACUUGCACUAGAGUCAAUCUAGAAGGUACCUAAUACCCAUAGCUCUUACAUGCGCAUCAUGCUUAGCCUGCGGGAGUGGUUUUGUCAACGGAUCAGAAAUGUUCAGAUCCGUGUGUAUUUUGCAUAUCUUGAUCUCACCCCGGUUAACGAAGUCUCGAAUGAGAUGAAAUCGCCGCAUUACAUGUUUGUUCUUCUGGUGGUUCCUUGGCUCCUUUGCUUGCGCAAUUGCCCCAUUGUUAUCACAGUAGAGAUUCAAUGGGCUGGACCCAUUCGGGAACACACCAAGCUCAAUGAGGAAAUUCCUUAUCCAAACACCUUCCUUCGCGGCUUCCGAAGCCGCGAUGUACUCGGCUUCUGUCGUAGAAUCGGCCACCGUCUCCUGCUUGGAACUCUUCCAACUAACAGCACCACCAUUUAGCGUGAACACAAAUCCUGUUUGUGACUUUGAAUCAUCUCUGUCGGUUUGGAAACUAGCAUCGGUGUAACCUGUUACAACGAGCUCCUCCUCACCUCCAUAGACGAGGAAUAUAUCUUUAGUCCUUCUCAAGUACUUAAGAAUGUUUUUCACCGCUGUUCAGUGACUCUCACCUGGAUCAGAUUGGUGUCUGCUUGUCAUACUUAGCACAUAUGAAACAUCUGGGCGAGUACUUAUCAUUGCAUACAUGAUAGAUCCAAUAGCCGAGGCAUAUGACACUCUACUCAUGUGAUCCCGCUCAUCAGCAGUCGAAGGACACUGAGUCUUGCUGAGAUGUAUGCCAUGUGACAUAGGCAAGAACCCUUCCAUGCUGAACCGCUUCAACACUUUGUCAAUGUAAGUAUCUUGGCUUAAACCUAUAAGCCUUCUCGAUCUAUCUCUAUAGAUCUUAAUGCCCAGAAUAUAUGCCGCUUCCCCUAAGUCCUUCAUCGAAAAACUAUUUUUCAGUGAAGUCUUUAUGGACUCAAGCAUAGGAAUGUUAUUUCCAAUCAGUAAUAUGUCAUCCACAUAUAAGAUUAGAAAUACUACAGAGCUCCCACUAACCUUCUUGUAAACACAAGACUCUUCUUCGUUCUUGGUGAAGUCAAACCCUUUGACCACUUCAUCAAAACGAAUGUUCCAACUCCUAGAUGCUUGCUUCAAUCAAUAAAUGGAUCUCUGAAGCUUGCAUACCUUUCCAGCAUUUUUCGGAUCGACAAAACCCUUGGACUGUAUCAUAUACACGUCCUCAGUUAGGUUUCCAUUCAGGAAAGCUGUCUUGACAUCCAUCUGCCAUAUCUCAUAAUCGAAAUAUGCAGCCAAACUUGAUUGUCUCCCAUGGACUCUAUUUCGGAUUGCAUGGCAUUCUGCCAUUUUUCGGAGUCUGGGUCCAUCAUUGCUUCUGCAUAUGUCACAGGCUCAUCAUUGUCCAACAAUAAUAUUUCCUGCAUUUCGCGGAGCCUUGCCGACCUUCGUGGUUGUGGCGGUGCUUCUCUUGCCAUGGGUAUCUCAACUUGUUCUGCUACGUUAGCAUCACUCAUUGAUUCUUGCCCGAUCGGCUCAUCUUGAACUUCUUCAAGAUGCACUGUCUUUCCACUCUUUUCUCCUUUGAGAAACUCUUUCUCUAGGAAAACCCCGUUCCGAGCGACAAACACUUUGCCUUCUGAUCAGUUGUAAAAAUAAUAUCCCAAAGUUUCCUUUGGAUAUCCCACGAAAAUGCACUUAUCCGACUUGGGUGCGAUCUUGUCCGACUGAAGUCGCUUGACAAACACAUCACAUCCCCAAAUCUUUAGAAAAGACAAACUAGGAACCUUUCCAGUCCAUAUCUCAUAUGGUGUCUUAACUACGGAUUUAGAUGGUACCCUAUUAAGUGUGAAAGCUGCUGUUUCUAGAGCGUAUCCCCAAAAUGACAACGGUAGGUCCGACUGGCUCAUCAUUGAUCGAACCAUGUCUAACAAAGAUCGAUUACGUCGCUCGGACACACCGUUUCUCUGAGGUGAUCCAGGCGGCGUAAGUUGUGGAACAAUUCCGCAACUCUUUAGAUGAUUGCUAAACUUGUGGCUCAAAUACUCGCCUCCACGAUCAGAUUGUAAGGCCUUAAUUUUCUUGACACGCUAAUUUUCAACUUCAUUCUGAAAAUCCUUGAACUUUUCAAAGGUUUCAGACUUGUGCCUCAUCAAGUAGACAUAGCCAUAUCUACUAAAAUCAUCAGUGAAAGAUAUGAAGUAUUGGAAUCCUCCUCUAGCCGUCGUGCUCAUUGGUCCGCAUACAUCACUAUGUACGAGUUCCAACAAGUCUACUGCUCUCUCAGGAAAUCCUGUGAAAGACGUCUUGGUCAUCUUGCCUAGCAAGCAAGCCUCACAUGUCUCGUAUGAUUCAAAAUCAAACGAAGUUAGAAGUCCAUCAGAAUGGAGCUUCUUCAUGCGUUUUUCACUUAUAUGACCCAAACGACAAUGCCACAAGUAGGUAGGACUCAAAUCAUUAGGCCGAGGCCUUUUAGCACUUACAUUACAGACAGGUGAACCAUCAAGAUUUAAAACAAAUAAUCCAUUCACAAUGGGUGCAAAAGCCAUAAACAUAUUAUUCUUAGAGAUCACACAACCAUUGUUUUCACUCGCAAAUGAAUAACCAUCCUUCAUCAAGCAUGAAGGAGACAAAAUGUUUCGACUUAAACUAGGAACAAAAUAACAAUUAUUCAACUCCAUAAUAAAUGCUGACGGGAGGUGGAGUUGCAUCGUCCCGACGGUCAACGCAGCAACUCUUGCAUUAUUGCCCACGCGGAAAUCAACUUCUCCUCUUUCCACGCUUCUACUUCUUAUCAUUCCCUGCAUCGAAUUGCAAAUAUGAGCAACCGAUCCGGUAUCAAAUACCCAAGAAUUAAUAAUUGUAUCAGCGAGAAAUAUGUUGUCUAUGACAUUAACAACAAGCGUACCUGAGGUAGAAGUACUCUUACUUCCUCCAUUCUUCAACGAAGCUAGGUACUGCUUGCAGUUUCUCUUCCAGUGACCAAGUUCAUGACAGUAAAAGCACUCUUUGUCUGGAGCAGGUCCAGGUCCAGCUUUAACCUUGGGCGCUCGCUGGGUUUGGCUUGGAAAUUCCAGCCUUGCCCUUCUUCUUCCAAGAAUUGCCCUUCUUCUUAAAGCUAGGCUUGUUCUGUAUAGCCAUCACAUGGCUAGUACAAGCGCUUUUCUUGAUGUCUACCUCUGCUGUCUUGAGCAUACCACACAGUUCAUUCAAACCCUUCUCCGUCCCAUGCAUAUGGUAGUUCGAGAUGAAGUUCCCAUAGCUAGGCGGAAGAGAUGAAAGAAUGAAGUCAGUGGCCAACUCUUUGCCCAUUGGGAAGCCCAGCUUCUCCAAUCGCUGAGUGUAACCAACCAUGUUGAUUACAUGUGGUCCUACUGCUGCGUCUUCUGCUAGCUUGCACUCCAGAAAAGCUUUGGACACAUUGAACCUUUCAGUCCUAGCCUGUGUCUGGAACAUGUCCUUGAGCGCCACGAUCAUAUCGUGUGCCUCAUGAUUUGUUUCGAACUGCAUCUGCAGCUCGGGUUCCAUGCAAGCAAGCAUAAGGCAGCUUACCUCAAGAUUAGCAUCAAAUGCCUUCUUGUAAGCAGCCUUAACGGCAGCAGAUGCAUCAUCAGCAGGUACUGGUGGUAGUGGGGUAUCUAGAACAUCUUCCUUUUUAUCGGCCCUGAGAACAAUUCUCAGGUUACGGAUCCAAUCCGAGUAGUUUGUUCCAUUCAACUUGUCCUUCUCAAGGACCGAGCGCAAAGCAAACGAUGUGGUGGUGUUGCUAGGUGCCAUUUAAUCUACAACAAAAGUAAUGCAAAAUACACUAAGACAAACGUAUCCAUGAUAGAGCAAAUUACAUUAAACUAUUUUAACAGAAUCUACUCCCACUAAAAUCAAUAUCCCUCUAUUGAAACUUAGUGAUUCAGGAUCCACAACUAACAAGUCUACUAGUGAGCUUUAGCAUCACCGCUAGCAAACGAGGUAGAUCGGUAAGCAACUUUUGCUAAUCAUAUCACAUAUGACUCCUGUUGUUGGGUGACAUCUCCAUGUCUCGGCGCCCAACCAUUAUGCCCCAAGGUCCUUAACCGUUAAGAUGACCUCGUUAAGCAAACCAACCCUUAUGCGUGUAAGUGUCCGACACAAACCCGUCUAGUCAAGGAAAACUAGUGGCACCCUAAUUUCAUAGACCCACCACUAAUUGUACAAGACAUGGGACGGUGCAAGUUUUAGUUGGGAGGGCAUACUAACUUAAAUUUUUUGUGAGGGAUCGUUCUACUUCUAACAUCACAGCAUGCAGAAAGUAAAACAUAAACAGAAUAGCAUUCACACAGCUGUGACACAGUAUGGCCCGUUUUUAUAUGGUGAUCUCCAUCUCCAUAGAACCUGUUCACCAUGGUGAUCUCCAUCUCCAUGUUCCAUGUGCGCCAUCCUCCUGGUGAGGAGUCCUCCAAGAACUAGAACAUGCUAUUACACCUAAUAGCUAGUAAAGAAUCUAGUAAUGAAGAUUACAUAGUUGCUUGGAUCAUCACAGAUUGGUACGCAGACCAUUAAAUACAAUAAAGUGACAACACAUAUGGCUCCUGCCGUGUUGCCGUACGCGCGACACGCAGGUCACGAAUGAGUUACACACAUGCAUCACAUACACAAGGGGGCCAUACUGAUCACAAGAUACAUACAUACAUCCUGCAAAACAGAGUUAGGCGUCCUAACGUUCCAAACUUCGAAGGCCCGAAACUCCAUCUUCCAAGCCGAAUUUGGGAAAUCUAAUUUUGCCGAAAACGGCAAAGCGGUUGAAUUUCAUGUGUAACUUUUUCUGUAGAUCAAUUUUCAUAUAAAAUUCGCCCCGAUCCGAGAUCGUACCGAAAAGUUACGGCUGAUUUACCGAAGCAUACGCAUACGGCAAAAAUUCCGACCCCGGCAGUAGAUCCCAUCUACUAUUGCACAUCUAAUGCGCCUGGCGUAUGAUCCUGGAUUUCGAUUCGACCAAUCAUAUUGAUCUUCGCUCACUGCAACUGGAAUUACGUGUAUCACUUAACUCGUCGGCGGCUCGUCGGCGGCUCAUCCAAGUGCUGCAGGCCCAACACCUCCAAGGUAUCCACACGUGCAGGGAGGAAGCGUCGCAAACCGGACUGCUAGAUCCGCGAGUUGCAAUAGGCGAGGGCGUGGGAGGCGCCGCAGGUGUGUUUCGCCAAAAAGAUGUAAACCCUAGGGCGCCCCCACCCCUCUAUUUAUAGAGGUUCCUGACGGGCCUCUGGAUCCGAGGCCCAUUAGUACUUCUAAACCUAAUCCAACUCGGAUCAGAUCCGAAUUGGGCUUCCAGCCCCUUAAGUGUGUGACCCUAUGGGUUCGGAUACGUAUAGACAUGGCCCGAGUACUCCUACUCGGCCCAAUAGUCGGUAGCGGCCUCUAGCAAGACGUGCCAACUCCUAUACACACACGAAGAUCAUAUCAGAUGAACCAUCACAACAUAAUAUACAUGCUAUUCCCUUUGCCUCACGAUAUUUGGUCUAGCUUCAAGCCGACCGCUCUUUCUCAAUCCUGUGAUUCGGAAUCCCUUUGUAGGUUAACUCUUAACCGUACGUAGCAUGGCCAUGCAUUUUCGGAUCCGAUCACUCGAGGGGCCCAGAGAUAUCACUCUCAAUCAGAGAGGGGCAAAUCCCAUCUUGAUUGACCAUGUCUCAUAGCAUGCUUCUUGACAAACCCGAAAACUACCUUUAUAACUACCCUGUUACGGCGUAGCAUUUGAUAGCCCCUAAGUAGGUCGAUCCACAUCUAGAAUACAUGCGACAAUCUCAGGUCUAAGGACAAAGCGUAUAUGUUGUUUAAAGAGAGAACUACUUCUCGUGUUGGGUCAGUCCCAGCACAUGUCUCCACAUGUGUCCACAUUAUUAGUUCAACAUCUCCAUGUCCAUGACUUGUGAAACAUAGUCAUCAACUAAUACAUGUGCUAGUCUAAUAUUCAUGUGUGUCCUCACAUGAACUCCGACUAGGGACAACUUUAGAAUAACCAUACAAGUAAAGAGUUUCACAUACAAUUCACAUAAUUGCAAAUCAAUUCAAGUAGCCUUCAAUGGAUAUUCAAUGAACACAACAUACAAAUCAUGGAUACAAAUGGAAUAUCAUCAUCUCUAUGAUUGCCUCUAGGGCAUACCUCCAACAAUUAUUUCAUGUAAAUUUUUGACAAUUUUUUAAAAUUGUUUGAUAUUUUUUAAAUUUUUUUUAAAAUAACUUUGCCGAGUGUCCUAUUGUAGACACUCGGCAAAGCAGCCUUCACCGAGUGUUACCCCUGGGACACUCGGCGAAUUAAUGCCCGGCCGCUCAAGAAUAUGUGCCCGGCCCCCUCACUCUCCCGGCCCCCCUCACUCUCACUCCCCUCACUCCCUCCUCUCUCCCUCCUCUCUCCCUCUCGCCGCCGCCCGAAACCCCCGCCGCCGCCCGCCGCCCGGCAUGCCGCCCAGCGCCCCCCGCCGCCGCCCGGCGCUCCCGAAUCCGCCGCCGCCCGCCCGGCGCCCGGCCCCCGGAUCCGCCGCCGCCGGCCGCCCGGCGCCCCCGGAUUCGCCGCCGCCCGCCCGGCCCCCGGCCCCCGGAUCAGCCGCCGCCCGCCGCCCGGCGCACGGCGCCCCCGGAUCCGCCGCCGCCUGCCCGGCGCCCGGCCCCUGGCCCCCUGAUCCGCCGCCGCCCGCCCGGAUCCGCCGCCGCCCGCCCGGCGCCCGGCCCCCGGCCCCCGGAUCCACCGCCGCCCCCCCGGCCCCCGGAUCCGCCGCCCGCCCGUCCCCUCCACCGGAUCCGCCGGCGCCGGGGCCUGAAGAGAAGAGAAGAGGAGAGGAUGGUGGCGGCGGCGGCCGCGGCGGCGGAGCAGGUGGCAGAGCAUGCAUGAUUUUUUUUUAUUUUUUCAAUAAUUGUUCGCCAAGUGUUUUCUGGGCACUCGGCAAAGUCUUUGCCGAGUGCCCGACACAAAACACUCGGCGAACCAGUGUUUGCCGUCAAGAUUUUUGCCGUGUGUCGUUUGCCGAGUGUUACACUCGGCAAACGCUUUGUCGAGUGUUUUUGGGGUUUCGCGGAGUGACCCUGGCACUCGGCAUCACGCAUGUUUCCCUUAGUGAACUUGAAAUUAUCUGUACAUUCUCGGUGAAGCUGUUGAACUAAUUUUUGCAAAUUAUUAAUUCAUCUCAUUACGCAAAGAAAAAAGUAAGUGGAUAAGAUAUUUCGUGGACCACAUCACUGCAAACAUGUCAUGGAGAGACAGACCAAGGAGGCAGGACGUGAUACACGACUUACCCUAGGUUGCCGUGGAACCGCCAAGAAGAGAUACAGAUACAUGGACCACACCAUCUUGGGAGUAGUGACAGCAUAUAUGCAGAAGAAUACCCCGUGCCUAUUUGCAUGCAUGUCUCAAGUGAUCUGUUUUCUUCAGAAAAUACAUGAGCAUUGCCAGAAAGAAUGGCAAGAGACAAACAUGUCAUAGAGACUUGCAUGUCUUGCCUUGGAUACGCCAAGAAGAGGGACACAUACAUGGAUAACACAAAUCUAGUGACACGUAUAUUCAUCACAAAGGCAAAUCUGAUAAUUUUAUCCAUGGAGCAGACCAAGGAGAAAUUGAUGACGGACAUGUGAUCUCUGUAUUCAGUUGAAAGCUAAUUGAGCUACACUAAUAUGAGCAGGACUAUAUUCAAGAGACUUGUUGAGAGCUACAGGGAACUUGUAAUAAUUUGCUGGGCGGCCUGCGCACAAUGAUUUGUUAUACAUAGUUGAAAUAUUUCAAGAAUUUAUCAACCUCAUACUCUGAAACCCUUGGUGCAAUGUACUCUGCUUUCCGAGGUAGACUGUUCACGUAAAAUGAGGUCAUGCGUAAGACGGAAUCGGAUUGGAUUCACAGGGAAUCAGAUUUGGAUAGCACCUUUUAGCAGGUUUUUAGUCAAAUGCAAAUUCGGAUCCACAUGUGGUUGAAUGCGAGUUCAAAAUUCUACUUGGAUAUCCAUUUAAUUUAGGUGAUAGCAAUUAGCACAAAAUGUUGGAUGAACAAAAUCAUAGUUAGACAUACAAUUACAUGUAUGGUUAAAGUAUAAUACAAUACACCAAGAUUAUUCCUUGAAAAUAUUUCUUAAAAAUAUUAUAAUAAAUGAAUAAAUAUAAUUGUGGCCACCAACAAAUAGUCGGUGGUCGCUAAGUUGGAGCCAUUUCUGGUUACUAAUGCGGCCUUCUCCUCGACCAGCGACGACAGCUGAGCUUGUUCCUUCUGACACUAAAUCAUCAGAGUCUUCCCUCCACUACUAUAGAAUGCACCUUUAGCACCAAUUGGGAAAUCCCCUUCAGUAUUGGAUGCUGCAACCAGUGCUAUAUAUCAAAAUGGAGACUAAAAGCCUCGGUCUUGGGUACCGGUUGCAUAACGCAUUACUAAAGGAGGCAAAAGAGAAAUGUAACAAAAAAAAUAUUUUGAAUUCCAAGAAUGUUUCACUAUUCAAGAUGACUAGCUGAGAGUCAACAGACAAGAUACUAGGAAUGUGGGUGCUUGAAUGCAUUUGUACAGAGGUCAUACUAUUUACAAACUCUUCUAUGUUUCCAUAUGACUACCUACUUCAAUGUCACGCGAGCCAUUCAGCUGGACACAUGGCACACUAGCUUGCAUGUCGAAUCCAUGAUUAAUUAUUUGCACUUGUGAUCUCUUACCAGUAUUUGUCCAGACUAGAAACGUGCAACACAUUUUUAGGAUAUGGACACGCAUAUAUUUGGACUAGUAUACAGGUCACCUUUGGAUGCGUACAAGGAUGACCGGGAGGGACUAAUGGAUACAAGGAAGGGACCAUCAGGAUUAAUAUUGACAUAUGCCACAUGACAAUCUUCAUUGUCAUGCAAUCCCUAUCAACAAUCAUGGAAUCCCUAGUGUACUAAUCCCUGGAGGGUUGUGUGGAAAUUUAUUUUACCUUGCGGUGAAAAUCUCAUGAGCAGUCAUUAGUUAAGCUGACUAGCUGAGAUAUAAUAGACAAGCUAGUAAGAUUGGGAGCAUCAAUGCAUCCAUACAGGGUCACAAUAUCCUUUCCAUUCACUUUUAUAUAUAACCCUACGAAUACAAGUCCAACGAAAUGCGGGCCUUUCGAUCAAGAUAAAUUAAAUGGCCCACUUGUAUUUCUAAUCCAGGAUUAACUAUGCCCUCUGUUCAUCUCUUGCAAGCACGUGCAACACAUUUUCACGAUAUGGACAUGCAUGGAGGUUAUUAUACUGUUUGGACAAACUCUGAUGUGCCAUGACCUAAAUGCUUAGGGCCUGUUUGGUUUGAGUUGCUUAUUAUAAGCAACUUAAAGUUGCUUAAAGUUGCUUAUUUGAAGUUGCUUAUUUUUAGUCUAAACUGUUUGGAUACCCUUGCUUAUGAGCAUUGAAUGAGUUGGACAUUGUCAAAUUUGCCCCAUGUGUUGCUACCCCUCCAAUUUGCCUCCCCACCCUUCUUCUUCCUGCACACGUCCGAUCCCGGGGGCCGACGGCGGGCAGGGAGCAGCAGCAGCUGGCCAGGGCGGCGGUGGGGCGGGAGCGGCGGCGCACACCAGCACGCGCUCGCACGCCAGGUGCUAGGGCGCGGCGAGGCAGUCGUCGUAGCCCACCGGGAGCGGGUGCUCGGGCGCGAGGCGGUACUCGACGGAGAUGCCGAGCGUCGGGCGCGCGGCGGCGAGCGCGUUGAGGAAGCGAUGGUAGUGCGGCGACGUCGCGGACUCCGCCACGAAGCCGCCGCCGUGGACGUACACCACCACGGGCAGCUUCGUCUUGCCGUCGGCGGCCGCGGCCGCGGCCUGGGGUGGCAGGUAGAGGCGGACGGAGCAGGAGCCGAGGUCGACGUCCCUGGAGUCGACGCCCGUGGCGGCGUCCAGGCUAGGCCCGACCGGCGGCGGCACGAGCGGGCGCUCGAUGCGGCCGCUCUUGUAAAUCCGACGGGUCUGUGCGGAGGCGGGCGGCGGGCGGGAGCGGCGGGUGGGAGCGGCGGCAGGUGGUGCGGAGGCCGGCGGCGGCGGGUGGCGCGGAGGAAGGGGAGCUGGUGAGUGGUGACAGGGGAGGGGGGGAGAGAGAGGGGGGGGUAGGGUGCAUUGAAUGAGGGCAGGAGGUGUAAAGUGCACCUUUUAGUCCCCAUGAGCAACCAUAAGCAGCCCAAGAGUUGCUUAUUUGCUUAUAAUAAGCAACCUCAUAAGCAAGAGUGAUUGGUUUCAUAAGCAACUUAUUUGCUUAUUUUAAGUUGCUUAUGCAUAAGCAUGUGAAACCAAGCAGGUCCUUAACCUAUGGUUGUGGCACCACACAGUACAUAGUAUUUAAUAAUGCUAUUCGUUUGGUAUGUGCACAAGGGCACGCAUGAAAUGUCUGGCCCACGGUAAACAAGUACGGACGCUGCAAAUAAUCUACUCUGCUCGUCCAGUCCCUAGCCUAUAAAUAGAUGCCAUGCUAGCUCUUGUUGUGCUCACAAUUAAUCCUGACUACACACGAGCUUCUCUCCCUGGCCAAGACACAAUCAUAGUAUGAUGAAGAACAUGGCACUAGCCGGCAAUGGUAUGAAGAACUUAAUCCUCGCUGUUCUCUUACUGUGUCUAGUUAUAGGGCAGAUACAAGUGGAAGCUAAGAGCUGCUGCCCAUCCAUUACUGCAAGAAAUAUCUACAAUGCCUGCCGUAUCACGGGUACAUCCCGUCCAACGUGUGCAAAACUGUCAGGCUGCAAAAUUAUCAGCGGGGACAAAUGCAAGCCCCCUAACGACCACCUCACCCUUGACCCGGACACUGGUAAAUAAUAAAUUUAUCUCACUUGAUUUCUUCGUGUUUUGAGUCGUUAAUGUAUUUUCCAUCUGAUGAAACGUAUUGGUUUUGCAUUGAAGAGGAAGUUAAUGUGCUUAACUUCUGCAAGUUGGGGUGUGCGUCGUCUGUGUGCAACAACAUCAACGCUGGUAAGCACCUUUUGCUCAGACGGAGAAAACAAUAAUCAUUAAUUAGCGGCAGCUAGAAUCCUAUAAUCUAAUAUAUUUAUAUAUAUAUAUAAUUUUAUCAGCUCUGGGAAAUGAAGAGGCGAACGAUGCCGUUGAGAGUUGCGACCAAGCCUGCUCUAGCUUCUGCAACGUGCACGUUGGCGCUGCCACCGUGGUUGCUUAAGCAAAUGCAUCCAACUGGAUCGUCCUUGUGCUAAAUAAUUGGAUAUCGUAUCCACUUAAAGCUGCCUUGUGUAGUACGUUUUUGUUUGUGUCUCUCUUUAUAUUCCAAUAAGGUCGGUGAUCUUGAUGCCACACACUCAGACGUGUGUUCAUCUCCAGAUACUACUCCAUGCUACCUGCCCUUUGUGUUUUGUUCAAUAACUGGGUAUCAUAUCCCAGCCAGUGUGCCAUCUGUUUUGUGUUUAUUUCCUUCUAGUUUCAAAGGGGUUAUCAUGAUGUUACCUUCUUUCGAUAUGGUGCUUUGCAUGACUACUGUUGUAUGGUACCAUCUUGUUGGCCAAUAAAUACAUCUUAUCCUAUGACCCUUUGCUAUGACCCUUUGCAAAUAAGUACAAGAUUGUUAAAUACUCGGUAUAAAUUGACUACUGCUGUGAGUUCCCUUUCAGCUUAUCGUAGGCAUACAUUAUUGCUAGCACGGUGAAGACAACCAACACGAAUGGUCAAGUAAACGUACCG